UUUUAGAAUUUCAGCAACAGCUUUUACUAGACUAAGGCUUCGUUUGAGAUUGCGGAGAGAUUGCGUUACGUGCAGUGAGAAACGACGAUGAAAAAAUAUCCUAUUUAUUUCCGUACAAAAUAUUGCGUUUCGUAUAUUACGACUAGUCGGUUACGAUAUAUUUUCUGCGAUCCUAUCGGAGAACGCAGAAGCAUAUUCUUAUAUGCUUCUUUUCAACUCCAUUUUAUCUAAUAGCGUUAGAUCCACAUCAAUACCAAACUAAGUCUAAGCUCGUAAUCGUGUGGUUAUUGCUAAACUUAUUCUUUUCAUUGCUAAACUUAUUCUUUUCUUUCGGUAUCGUAUCGUGUCAUGUUAUGUCAUUUAAAAUGAUGUGUUGAUUUCUGACCUCGCUCGCACUAUCAACAUAUCGCGAUCGAGAUCGUGUUAUCGUUUUCUUUUUUUGAAUCACCACCGUCUCCGUUGACUAAUAAUAGGAUAGUAGACAAGCCUUAAAUAAAUAAGAUUAAAACAGCCUUCAAUUAGUCAGUUUGGCUGGAAUUAAGAGCACCAAUAAUAAUAAUAACGCAAUAAAAUAUUCAAAUUCAAAGCAUCUUAGAUCCAACAACAACUGUUAACCCUGUUUUCUUUCAUAGACCAUAGCAAAAGAACAUUAAUAAAGGAGACACAGGAUACAUAGCAUGCAUUCCUAACCCCUUUUUUUUGUCAAAAAAAAAAAAAAAGGGACGAGAAAGAAAUGGCUAAGAAAGAGAUGGGCUUUGUACCUUUUUUAUUUAUCUUUUUUAAAAUGCUAACUACACGAUUAAUUAGUUGAAACUAAUCAUGCAUGAAUCCUCACCCGAGUGAUUAAUUAAUUGAUUAAUUGUUUAUGAGCUUUGAUAUUAGAUGUUUAGAUCCACAAAAGCCCACACUGUAGCUUUCCCACCUCCCAAAGCAUUAAUAAGAAACAUUGAUGUACACUGCCCCAUCCCCUUCAUCAGUCAUAAAUAUUCCUACGCAAUUAUUCCAUUUUUCCGCUCAUUUACAAAAUUCAUAACCCAACAAUAAAAUAGAAAAAAGUAUACAAACACAUCAAAUUUGAAUUAAUUAGUAGUGAAAAAAAAAAAAAAGAAGAAGAAAGGGGCUUAUUUUUAUACGUAGAUACAUAAAUAAAUCCCCUAAUUAAUUAAACUCAAUUAGUUCUUCUUUGUCGAAAGUGUGGUGGUAUACAUAACAUUUCUUUAUACUGAUAAAAAUCUAUCAAUAAUCCCAAGCUUAAUUUUUCUCUUCCCAAAUCCCCCCACCCCCCCAAAAAAAGAAAAAAAAAAACCCCAAAAUCAGAGAGAGAGAGAGAGAGAGAGAGAGAGAGAGAGGCUUACACGAAGAAGUGGAAGAGGAGGAGCUUCAAACCCUAAUAAUAAUCCAUGCGCGUGUUGAGAGGGAGAGAGAGAUCUAGAGAGAGAGAGAGAUCGAGAUGUAGAGGGCAAUGAGAACCCUAAUGAGGGCUCGGCGGUCGGCGAGGCGGAGCCAGAGGCAGACGGCGGUGAAGCUGAGGACGAGGCUGAGCAUGCCGCUGGCGAGGCCGAUGGCGACGAUGGCCCAGACGGAGAGGGCGCGGGCGGCGCGCGGGGCGGGCGGCAGCGGGAAGCCGUAGAGGCCCCGGUUGCCGGCGAAGGAGGAGGCGUUGAAGCGCGGGAGCGGGGAGCCGAGGGAGCGGUUGGCGAGGAGGACGGGGACGGGGCCGGAGAGGCGGUUGGAGGAGACGUCGAAGGCGGAGAGGCGGACGAGGAGGGCGAGCUGGUCCGGGAUGGGCCCCGAGAGGAGGUUGGAGUGGAGGUCGAUGACGUUGAGGUAGGCGCAGAGGGAGAGCUCCGGGGGGAUGGGCCCCGAGAGGAGGUUGGAGGAGAGGUUGAGCACGGCGAGGUUGAGGAGGAGGGAGAGCUCGCCGGGGAUGGGCCCCGAGAGGGAGUUGGACGAGAGGUCGAGGGUCUGCAGGUUGGAGCAGUUGGAGAGGAAGGGGGAGAGGGACCCCGACAGGGACAGGCCCGCCAGGGACAGCUUGUACACGCGCCCGUUGUUGCACGUCGCGCCCUGCAGGUACGACGUGAACCCGUUGCAGGGGGACGCGAACGUCGCCCGGCUCCAGUUCCGCAGCGAGCCCCCCGGGUCCGCCAGCGACGCGUGCACCUCGCUCAGGCACCGCUCGUCGUCCGGCUCAGCCGCCGCCACCGCCACCACCACCGCAAAGGCCAUGGCGACGACGACGACGACGACCAGGAGGACGACGAGCUUGGGAGCCAUUAUUAGACUAUGGAGGAGGAGGAGGAGGACGAGGACGAGGACGACGAUGGAGGAGGAGAGGAUGGGGAGGAGUGGAGUGGACUGGAGUGGGGACAAGAAAUGGAGAGGAGCAGCUUAAACAUUUGCUUUGCUUUGCUUUACUAUUAACUAGUUAAUAAUAGUAAUAGGGAUAUAUAAGGGGGGCGGGGGGGGCGCGGUGAGGUUACCGCUUCCGCGGAAUCGGAUGCUUUGGUGCGGAUUCGAAUCCGGAUGAAUGGGAAAGACCCUCUCUCUCUCUCUCUCUCUUUCUCUUAUUUAUUUAUUUAUUUUAUUUUAUUUUAUUUUUUUUGGAGAGAGGAAGAGGAAGAGGAAGAGGAAGAAGAGUGACUGCAGGUAAGUAAGUAUUAAUAGGAGAGUCAAAUUAAUUAGAACAGAAAAUGGAAUAGUAAAAAAAAAAGAAACAAAAACGACUAGCUCCAGCUUAAGUUUGGUGGAUACUUUAGAGUAGCUGACCAAGCGUAUGGGAAGUUGCGACGCUUAAAACUAUAAUAGUGAUAAUAAAUACGUGACUAAUAUUGUAUAGUAUAAUAUAAAAAGGGAAUUUCUUGGGUGGGGCCUGUACUGUAUUAGGCUGUGUAAGAAAAAAGAAUACGGGAGAGUAAGUAUUAUUAUUAUUAGUUCGGCUACUGUACUGUACUAUCGAUAGUAUCGAAUUUUUUAUACUAUCGUAAUUUUUAUUGUUAGACCUAUUCAUUAAUUAUUUUUAUCCGUUAAAUUAUAUUAUUCAACUAAUCAUCUACUCAAUCUUAGAAAACUCUUAUAAUUCUAACUAAGAACUACUAUUAUUUUAACCGUAUGUCUCUUUAUCUAACAGUUGAAAAUUCGACAACAGCAAAUGUUUAGUACUACCGAUAGUAUGGUAGCAUAAAUUCUACAUAUUAUUAUAGGCAAGCACAACUCAUACAAAGAGUUAAGAUAUCGAAAAAGAGAAAAAUUAAACCAUUGUAAGAAAAGAUAAUAUGAAAGAAAAGAAAACAAAAGAUGUAAAGAUUAAUGCUCAAACCAAAACAGAAAAUUCAAGAUGCAACAAAUGGACGGUUAUGAUCAUUUGAUCACCGAUUGCACAAGGUGUAAAUUUUCUACAGUUCCGUGCACAGAAAAAUUAAAAGUACCUACACUUUUCGUACACAGAAGCUGUUCCACCGCUCAUCCGUAAAUUUGAUAACAAUCAAUCAAAUGAUGAUUUUUAGCGCAAUUCAAACUGAGAGCCAAAAUUAACCCUCUCAUCGAAAUAUAUCCAUAACACAACAGUGCAUUUUUUUUUUGGGAAAACUUCAAAAAACCCCUUGUGGUUUCAAUUCUUUCACUUUAGUACCCUGUGGUUUAAAAUGUAUCAAGUUAGUACCCUGUGGGCUGUGGUUUCUCACUUUAUCACUCUAGUACCCUGUAGUUUAAAGUGUAUCAAGUUAGUAUCCUAUGGUUUUGCACUUUAUCACUUUAGUACCAUGUGAUUUUAAUUUUGUAUCAAGUUAGUACCAUGUGGUUUUUUAAAUCAUAGGGUACUAAAGUGAUAAAGUAUGAAACCACAGGGUACAAAAGUGAUAAAAUGCAAAAUCACAUGAUACAAACUUGAUAUACUUUAAACCACAUGGUACUAAAGUGAUAAAGUGAGAAACCACAGGAUACUAACUUGAUACACUUUAAACUACAGGGUACUAAAAUAAAAAAAUGUGAAACCACAGGAGGGGUUUUUGAAGUUUUUCUUUUUUUUUUAUUUUUUUUGUUGGGUGACUAUGUAGACUGGGUUUAUCGCAAAAUUUCUUUCAAACAAGUAGUGCCAAUGCCAUAAUAACCUCGUCAUUAUUCGAAGAAGACCUUGUAAUUUAUACAAAGCAACAAACAACCCCCCUUCCCCCGCUGCAACAAAGAAGGUACCCACCCAGUGCCCCCUUUUUGCCCUUUUCCAAAGAGGGAGUCCCCUCUUGUGUCGCUCUCACUCUUCUGCCACCACCUGUCCUACGACCACUUCUCCACACAGUGUCUCUAUAUUUUCUUUUUUUAUUAAUAAUCUUAAAAAAAUAUUUUAGUUAUAAAAAUAUUCAUCUAAAAAAUUUAUUUACAAAAUUAGAUUCAUACGAUAAAUAAAUUAUUACUUUUUAAAUAUGAUAAAUCAUUUUAACAUUUUUUUUCAAAAAUAUUAAAAUUAUUUUUAAUAUUUAAUAUUAUACAUCUUUUAAAAUUUAGAUGUAAAAAAUAUAUAAUAAGGUGAUAAAUCAUUCACCGCUUUUAGAUAGCGGUAAAUAAUUUAUCACUUUUAUGGACCUAUUUUUAUAAAUAAAAAUUUUAAAUAUACAUUUUUAUAUUUAAAAAAUUUGUAGACUUAAGUAGCCCAAAAACUCUCUCUCUCUCUCUCUCUCUCUCUCAAAAAUAGUGAAUACGGUCUAAUAUUUGACAAAAUUAUUUGCGGCUCUAUAUUUUUUUAUAUUUAAAUAUUACUCAGAUAGUAAUAUAUACAUGUAUUCAAAUAUGAAUAUGAAUUAGAAUUAACAUGAAUUAGACACAAUACAAUUAAAAUUUUACACUCCUAUUCAAACUUUAUAUACCUAUCUUAUUUAAUAAAUUAUAAAAUUUAAUAAAAUAUAAAUAUAAUUUUAACACAUAAAAUCCAUAAUAAAAUAACUUCUAUACGGGACUUUUCUAAAAUAAUUAUAAUCAAGGAGUUUAAUUUUUCUGACUAUCUAUUAUUUAAUAGAGUAACAUAUUUUAUUUAUGAUAUGAUUUAUUUUAGUCUGAAAAAAGACUUUAUGGCUCAGCAUAACAUUCCAUUCUAAGCAUUUUAAUCACAUAUCUUAUCUACCAAAUAUACACUUUUUCUAAGAUAAUUCAAAAAAAUACACCGAACAAAAUAUUUAUGCAUUCAAAUAAAGCUUAAAUUUAAAAAUAUGCUAAAUAAGAUAUUUAUGCAUUUAAAAAUAAAAAAGGAACCUUAAAGCUGACAGUUUUAAGGUUCUUUAUUUCUAACAAGAGAGAGAGAGAGAGAGAGAGAGAUUCGAAGAUGAACGUAUUUUGAGAUUUGGGAAGUCAAUGCUAAAUAACUUAAUUAUAAGUACACAAAGGUGUCUACAUUACAAAUGUCGAAAAUACGGAUAUGCAUUAAGCGAAAAUUAUUGACUUGAUUCAUGCAUACAGUAUAAAAUGCUAUAUCGAUUAAUCGAUAAAUAUUACUACUGAUCUUACAGUACGGUAUUUUCAUACAUUAUUAGUAUAUCGGCACCUAUAAUGGGAACAACACUCUAACAAAUAUUGCCAACACAUCAACAGAUUUAUACGAGCAACAUUUCUAAAUUUUCAAAUCAUUCCUCCUUAGUUACUACAUUGGUAAUUUACAAGAGAGAAUUUGUUAUUAGAGAUUCGAAGCAUUUUCCCUUGUGAAUGGCAUUGAAAAAUAAUUCUUAUAGAUAAACUUCAAGUUAAGUCCGCCUAAUAUGCUCUUUUUUGUACUUAUAAGUUUUUAGUUGUUAGAUCUAUUCUUUGACUAUUUCCAUCGAUUGGAUCAUACUAUUCAACCAACGACCUGCUUAACCCUAGAGACCAUUAUCAUUAUAAUCGGAACCCACUACCAUCUUAACCGCACAUCCCUUCAUCCAACAUUCCAAAACUUAAGAGUACAAAGAGAUCUACUCAUAAGAGUAUAGUAGUCUUAACCCUUCAAGUUAUCCUAUUUUGGUUUAACACAUUUUCACUUUGCCACUCCGAUCCAAAAAGUAGUACUUAACUAUGAAAUUUACCGUGCUUUCAUAUGGUCAUCCUGUGGUCCAAAAAGUCACAGUAAUUUUAAUUUUUUUGUUUCACUAUAAGAACCUAUCAUUAAAUAUGGUACUGCUCCACAAGGGUAAAUUAGCAUUCACCUUUUUUUUUUUUGUAUCUGGUGAUUAAUUUCCACCGUUAAAAAAAACCUAACUAAAGGUAAAAAAACAAGAAAAACCAGUAUCUUUUGUCUCCACGCCCUCUUGGAAAAUGGAGAAAUUGUUCCCCCACAGCAAAUCCUUGGAUGAUGAGACACAAGAUCUCCGCUGCCCCACAAAGCACUUCUGGUGGAAUGGCUUAUACUUUUUUAGCUGGUUACCGUUAUUGCCCGUUUAACAUACAUAGACAUGAGAGGCCCACACAAAUAAUGCUAGAUGCUAUGCUAUAGUUGUUCUUCCUGUGAACUGUCACCAAACCUUAGCCCAGUUGUCCAUACUAGUCUACUCUAAUUUGGAUAAACUGGACCACACUAAUCCCUUAAUCUUUGCCAAUUAAAUAUUCGGCACCUCGAAAUUUUUUGUUAGUAUUUUAUUUUAUUCAUUAUCCUUAUUUACCGACGAGGAAAAAGAAGAAUUACCAACUGCAUUAGGUGCAUCUUAUGUGGUCUCUAAAUCAUACAUACUAAAAAGGUCAGCUCGCAGGUGAAAUACAUUAUUGUGAAAAUUCAUUACUAUUGAAACCUUGCAUGGCCUAAAAGCAAAAUCUAAUCAUAAGGUCAAAGAAUAUAUCUGUAAAAACUUAUUCGAACAUCUAAAGCAGGCGGUUACUUAUUUACAUGUAUAUCUCUAUAAGAUCAUAGUUUAGUCCGUACUCUUUAGAAACAUGUUUGUCACAUACGCCUGCACCGGCAAAUUCUAAACAUCCUUUGGUUCUACACAUGGAGUGUCCCCUAGCUGUUCCCGUUUAGUUAAGCACAUUCCUAAACACAGGGUACAUCUAUUAAAUACGAGAAUAACACAUUUCUCAUUCUAAAUUUUUCUACAAAACAAUGAACUCAACUAUACUUUGCUUAAUGGCACAACAAGCACGUUAAGGAAAGAGGAUAAUGUUAAUGACCUCAUAUGAUUUAAUGCUAUUCGACUUUACCACCUAUGUUUCAGCCCCCAAAACUGAUGUUGCUGUUUAAGGCAACUUGCUUCGAGUUACAACUGAAAUGCUGGUGAAGUCGAGAACGUGGCAAUGACAUGACUCAUCAAAUCACUACAAAUAAAGAUCUUAUUGUUUGAUCUCAUUCAUCUGUCUUAUUUAUAUUGGUUUAAUAAGGUAUAUGAAUAUGAAUUGCUUAAGUGAAUUUGAAGAGAAAUCAGACCACUACACAAAGGCUGUCUAAUUUUAGUUGUCGAGAAUAUAAAGCUUCUCUUGUAAGGACAUGAAAGGAUAUCAAAUACCAGUAAAGAAGAUACGCUCGACUAAAGUGAUGAGAUUUACCAUCUGUAAUAAUUAAGCUCCAAAUGAUUUGGUAGAACAUGGACGGGAAUGAUCAACCUACAGGUCGGACACCAUUCCACCUGGGGUCGUCAUUGUCGAUCCUGUGCAUAUAAUUGUAUUGAUUAUUCCUUAUAUAAGACACACCUGACCAUGCUCCACGAACAAGUAGAAUGCUUAAGAACACCAUGCUUCCAAACGUGCAGACCACCUACAAUUGUUUGCGACAAAAUUAGGAUUGUAAAGGGUUUUGAUAAAAGAAAAGAAGAAACAAAAACGAGGAAUGAAGAAUAUGAACUUUCAUUUUUAGUAAUAUCCAUAAAUAUGAACUUAGAAAAAGUAAGUAACACAAACUUAUAAAUGAUAAUUAAUUAUCCUCUUUAUCAUAAACCGCAAAGUAUAGUAUUGUUCAGCAUGCUAAUUCAGAAGAGAUAUGUGAGGUGGAAUAUACCAGCUUAUUUAUGUAGAGAUAGAUAGAGCUACUAAUAAAGGAUCAAUCAUCAGCUCUUACUUGGGAAACAUUUUCAAUGGCUACUCUUUGGCUGUAUAAGCCUAUGAGGACAGCGAGAUAGUACUGGAUAAAAAAUCAGGUAAAAAAAAGGAGUAAUUUAAUCAAGCAGAAAUAAUUAAAAUAUGCUUCUGUUGGAUUUCAUACGAGUCAUUACCAAAAAUCAGAUUGUAAUUUACUAGUUUUCUCUCCCAUGCUUUACCUAUAAAAUAGCCUUAACCCAUUUAUAGACACAGAAAGUUGAUGUACGAUCAAUCCUCAGAGCAACACGGUUUCAUCCAUUUCCAACAACAGGCCAAGCUAUGGAGAAUCUAAAAGAUUUGGAGUCCACUAACUUAUCUCCUGAAUCAUUGGCGAGGAGUAUCAAAUUAGACGGAUGAGAGUAAGGAAUCAGCCAAUAGGCUUAAAGAGGCGAUUGAUGGGCACAUCUAAGAACAAUUCUCAGAAAGAAAAAAAUUAAACACCCGUAGGUGUAGUUAAAAAGAAAAAAAGUCACCCAAACUGGCUAAGCAAUAAAGAUAUUAGGGCUGAUUCACUCCACACUACAAAAGUAUAGUCGCCAACAUGCAGUCAUUGACUAGUUGGAGCGCAACCAACCCUACGAGGACUUAGAAUAUCCUAAUAUUUUUCAAUAAUAAUAUUUGUCUUGUUAAUCUAAGAUUUUCACAAUCCGUAAGACCAAUAAGGGGAAAAAACUUCCUGUCUUUUCUACAUUUACCUGGUUCACAAGAGAAAUUUAAGUCGGAAACUAAAUCAAGGACAUGCAGGUCGCAAAGCUCUACCCCCGUUAAACAUGAAUAAGAAACUCUAAACAGAAGAAUCAGUUCAACCAGGAACUAAGGAUCAAAGUUAAUGAUGAAACAGUAGGCUGCAAUAGAAACAGACAAAUUGUUCUUUUACUUUUAACCCUACAAACUGCACCCAAACACUCUUGCAAUAUACUUCAUGUAGAAAUGAGAAGAUGGAACCCUUAAUCCAGAACCUUCUAAGCAUGAAGUUGCUUUAAUUCAUAGGCUAUACGUCGAGAGAAGGUAAUUUGCAUUGAUGGAGUCCUUAGAUUAUUCUCUAGCUUACUCCUAUACCACUAUUGUGCUCGCAAAGAGAACGCAAUAUCCUGUAUCAGUUGAGUUGCAUAAGACUCUAAACUUGAAUAACCCAAUGCUCAACACAAUUCUGGGCAAGCUUUGGCGAAAUGGGACUAUUAACUACACAAAAAUAUAAGAAAAUUGAUUUAUUUAGAACAUGAUACUUCCAUUUACCUCAAGAAAGGCUUUUAGAAUCCACAGGAAAGCUAGUAUUAGAACUCCAUUCACCGAAAAGCGCACCUGAAAUCGUUAAGAAUCGUCAAUUUGAAGUAACAAAGAACCCUAAAUUCCCCAACAAGCGUACGAGAUUGAUCUAUACCAGCUUGGUGGAGAUGGAAGGGGGAAGGACCGAUCGAACGGCCCUCCUCGCUCGGCGAGAGACCCUUCGGAAAACGUUGUGCAGGAACCUCGCGAGGAGAUCCAAGCUCCGAUCAUCAUCCUCCUCGUCCUCAUCCUCAUCAUCAUCAUCGUCAUCAUCGCCCUCCCUAUCAUCGUACCUCUCUCCUCCCGCGAAAUCGCCGACCCACGCACGCGCGUCAGGCGCGAUCACCACCGCGUCCUACUCAAAUCCCCCCAUCAUCGUCGAAUCCAAACACGUCGUACAUGGAGAUGGAGGCGGAGGCGGCGUACCUACCUGGGAGGAUCGGGAGGAGAAGCUUCUGGAGGCUUUGAGCGGAGAGGAGAGUCGAAGCGGGGAGAGGAGAGGGGCCAAAGGGAGGAGAUGGAGAUCGUGGUAGGGUUUGGGGCGGGGGAGGUGGGAAGGGAAUGGGGGAAAGGAGAAGGACACGGAGGAGGAAGAAGACGACGCCAUGGGAGAGGAGCAGCUCGAGCUCGAGCUCGAGCCUCGUUAUAAGCAACGGUGAACGCUUCCCCUUUUGGGUUGGGUUAAAAGCGGGUCGGGUUCGAACCGGAUCUUUUCUUUGUAAAUUGGGUUGGCCCGGCCCAUUGCCCACAGCCCAGCUAGGAAUAUGAUUAGAAUCGGGUCAUGUUCUUUUAUGGGCCCCCUCAUGGUUUAUUAGUGUAGUAAUCCGUGCGAUACGACAGGUAGAUAAUUAAAAAAAAGAUAUAAAAUAUCGAUAAAGGAGGAGGAAACAAUGAUGAAAGUACAGACGAUAAAAGGUGGGAUUCAUCUUGUCGAUAAAGAAAGGUGACAGUCGACGAAAGCAGAAAAGGAAUAGGUUGAGCCAAUGCAGAGAUGUGAUCCGAUUCGAUUCAAGCAAAAAAAGGAAAACCCAAUUUAGUUCAAGCAAAGAAAGAAAAAAAAAAAAAAAAUAUGGAGGAUGGGCCGAUUCGGAGGAGCCUACACUCAACGAUGAUUAGUUUGGUUUAAGCAAAGAAAGAAAAAUCCGAUUCGAUUCAAGAGAAGAGAAAAAUAUUUGAAAAACUUGAGUCGGUUCAGAGUGGACCCCAUACCCAACAAUGAAGGGAACUUUACUAUGUAGAAAAUUUAGGAAAAAUAAUGUAUAUGUAUUGAUAUAGAUAUAGAUAGAUCUAGGUAUAGAUAUAGGUAUAGAUUUGUUUGUUUAUCCGUAAAUAAUUUUCGUGUUGAAAAUAACUUUCAAUUGAAUUAGAAAUUAGGUAAAAAUUACUUUUUUAUCGCUGUUUAUUUGGUGGUAAGUUAAUGACUUUGGAACUGUAGUUAUCCAACCUUGUCUAUUUGAAAAUUUUUAUCAGAGUAAAAAAUAGUUAUAGUUAAUUUUUUAUUAUUUUUUUUUCUAUCUCUUUCUUUUUCGUAAUUAGUUUGAAGAAGUGGAGUUGCGCGCGAAUUUAAUUCAUAGCAAACCAAACAAUGAAAACUCACAUUUACAGCUGAAAAUAAUUUCACCCUCUGCAUUUUUGUAAAACAAACAUGCCUUAGAAGUACAUUUUCACUUCGCCUCACUGUAGUUCAAAAAGUAGCACUUAACAGCCUUCUAAUUUUAUUGUUUUUUUAGCAUCAAAACUAUAACAAAGUGAUACUUUUCGCAAAUUAUAAGCUGAGACAAAUAUACAGUACAAUAUUUUAUCAUACUAUAAUCUGCAUACAAUGUGCACUUUAUCAUCUCGUGAUUUGCAAAAAUAAUAUCACUUUGUUGCAUUAGCAAACGUACUUAAAAUAUUGUAUCAUUUUAUAUGUAGUGAGAUUACCCGAAAGAUUAUCAGGAAAGUAAUUUUAUCUUUGUUUAAUAUUACUCUCUCCAACUGUCGCAGUUGGAACUGCGGCCAAUUUGGUUGUAAUUCCAACUGCUGAAUUUAACCCUCCUCGUGUAGUUCCAGCUACAACAGUUCGAUUCAAAUACAUGAAAUCAAACGGCGAAUUUGGAUGUGGAUGCAGUUACACUUGCAAUGCAAUUACAAUUACGUACAACCAGAGAGUCCCAAGAAGUUUUUUUAUCCUCUCAAAUCCUUAUACUGAGCAUCACCAAUAAGUUAUCAUGUAAUUCAUUGAGAAAGUAUUACAACCUUUUGCUAAACAUAACUGAUAACUCCCUAGAGACCAAUAAUUUUUUCCCAAGUUCUCCAAAUACAAGAAAUAAUACAACACCAAUCAAAGAUUCAAACAUCAACUCCAAUCCAAUCUAACCCACCCAGUGAUCCUCAGUGUACUGCAUCUUUUAUAUGAGAUAUGAAAAAGAGAACAAAAAGAGAGAUCAAUGGUUAGGGCUAUGAAACUGUACAACACUUGUCGGAGAAUCCGCCGAGAUAUACAGCAUAUCAAUUAGAGGGAAAUUGCAAGUGCUUUUGCUAUUCCACCACCUUCAUGGAACCUGAUACAUCUAAACAAAACUCAAAUUACUUAAACUAGGACGUAAAAAGUUUGCGAGAAUGGGAUUCGAAGCCAAAGUUCAGAUUUGUACUGCUGUUCUCUGUUCCGCCGGUCACCGCGCUCGGUAUGAAACCCAUAUGUAUGAUGUUUUGAAGUUCGUCGUCCCACAGUCCGGGUAUCUGAGACGAAUGAAGUUCGAAAAAGAUUAUCACAUCAUUCUUUCGCCUUCUUUUCCGCUUUUCGCGGAGCAUUGUAAGGCAAAUAAAAGGAAAUGCAGCAACAAGAUGCUGUAUAUUACUUGAGAGAUGGUGGGGAACUGGGGAAUGGAUGUCGCAGGAGUGUUCCCCGGAUUUUGGAUACCGAACAACAUUUCCGGAAGCACGAUUCCAUUUGGCGACGACCCGUGAAAACUACUCUGAACAUUGCUUAAUCCCAAACCAGAUCCAAGAAGAGCCGGGCGCAUAUCUCGUGAUUGAAGAAUCUAUUCAAAAGUUUUUUUUUAAAAAAAGAAAACUCUUUCAAUUGUUAAACUACAAUUAGAACAUGCGAGGAAUUAUACUAUUAAGGAGAAUUAGUUUCCAAUUUCUGAACAUUUCUAUCUCUUACAUCUUUAGUCAGAAUCUGCUCGAGAUUAAAACUCAUCUCUGGAUUCACAGCCGCGAGCUUCAUCGAUAGGAACUGCAGAUUACAAAAGACCUGAAUUAUUGGCCUAACCAUUCAAUUAGUCUCAAAUUACUUUUUUAAACAACUAAGAUUCGAAAAUCGGGGAAUGUACCUCGACUUGUCGUUGCAACGACUGCACAUAAUUGAUAAUCUCAUCAAGCAUCAUCGCUUUGCCAGUAAUCUAUCAAAUAAAUACCAUGUAGAACAUACAUUAAACAGUAGCCCCUUUCAAACAUGUCACAAAAUAGUAGGGGAUAGAUACAAAAUUAUAUGUUAGGGUUACCUUACUGCAACCUGGAACAAGAUCUUGAAGCAGCCUCAUUCUUUCGCUAAUCUUUUCCCUUCUCACCUGCGAUAAAAAAAGAAAUUACGCUAAGAAGGACAAAAGGAGAAAAUAAGAACAAAUCAUGGUUUUCGUAGAAUAAAGGCGCACUCUUUCCGCGAGGCUGUGGCUAUUGGUCGCUUGGCCGCGCUUUGCCCUAACAUGAAUGUAAUCAUCUUUAGAAGCAUCGCCGUCGAAAGUACUCUCUUUAGCUUGAUUUCCACUGUGUAAUUUUAUCUCAUCUUUUUCGACAGCGUUGCUCAGAGACUCCAUCUUAACCUCCAUUUGCUGAGCCAUCAUCAAAUUCAAUUACAAGAAAAAAAGAAGAAGAAGAAAACAGGUAAACAAUAAGAUAUUUCGAGCCAUAUUACUUGAAUCCUAUCCUGCGGCGUUUCGGAAUAUAUAGAAACACCAUCGACGGCGCCUUUUCGUUUCUUUCCUUUGAAAUUUUUAUCAUUACUGCGCUUGCUACCCGUAGAAAAAUCUAGAGAGGAGAGAAAAUUUUGCAGUUCGUCAGUAUUGUUUUCAGAAAAGAGAAUUUACAGUUUAAACAAACUUUUACCGGCCGAGGGAUUGUAAAAUUGGAGUCUUUGUUGCGUCGCAGAAUUAUUAUACUUUGAAAAACCACUUGGCCCAUUAAAGUCCAUAGCUUGCCCGAAGUAUUGGUCGCCGAAUCGUGCCGAAGAACACGGAGUGUUUACAGAAGAAGCCCCGACAAUCUGAUCAGAUUGCAUUGCUGAACACCUCUGAAAACACAAAGAUUACAAAUUUUCACCCAAAAACCCAGAAAAUCAGUAAGUUAAAAAAGAAAAGGGAAAGAAAUUAUGAUCUCAAUUACCCAAGCAAAAUCCUAUCUACAGCUACUGAAGUAUGCUAUGCUUGAGAUGAAGUUAUGAAGCAACUUAUAUGAAGCUUCUGAGACAACAUCUUUACCUAAAGAGAUAGAGAUAAGAGAUAGAGAGAGAGAGAGAGAGAUUGACUGGUAAAUUUCUUGCAGGGCUCAACAAGGAACAACUAAAACUGGCAGCUUUACACAAAGAGGUAAAAAAGCAAAAGUAAUUCCUUGUCAAGAGAGAGAGAGAGGAGAGGAGAGAGAGAGAGGAUCCCAAAGAAAACAUUAAGGAAAAAAAAAAAAAAAAAGAAAAAAAAAGAGGAGCCAAGUAGAAGGCAUAUAAUCUUACAAUGCACCAGCUGGAUAACUUUAUCAGAACAUUAGGAUCAAAUGUAUUCUAUUCUCACUGCAAAGAGCCCCCCAGGGACAAAAAAAGUGGAACUUUCACACACAGCAUAAAAGGGGAGGAGCAAGCAAUGAGCCACAUCAUUGAGUAUAUAGCUCUCUCACACACCACAAACUCCUUUUGGGGACUUCAAAUGCAGCUUCUAUCAUACAAACCAGCUCAAAAGCAAGAUUAAAACUUUUCCCAUAAGCUCAAACAUUAAACCAAAAACAAAACAACUUACUCAAACUGGGGUUUAAGAUGGGACAAGAGCAAAAUUUUUAACCUUCCAGGUAGUAGGAAAAAGAAAAAGAAAGAAAAGGAAGAAGAGGGGAUGGUUUGGGGAAGCACUUUGACUAAGUAGCUAUAAAGGGAUGUGAAGAAACUCUUCAAAGCAACAAACACUGAUGUGUAAGGUGUUGUGGAAAUGGAUAAUGUUUGAAUGGGGGUGAUGCUCUUAGGAGGGAAAGUUCCAAAGCUUCUCAGACCAGGAACCAGGGAAAAUGAAAAUUGCUGUAAACAGAAGCACUCUGAAAAAUUACCUCAGUGGGUUAUAUAUCACUAGAGACCUUGAAAGUGCCCCCCCCAAAAAAUUGAGAAUUGUUACAAACAACCAACACAACAAUUAAUCUUUUACAAGAGAACCAAAAGGAAGUAAAUAGGAAGGGAAAUUGAAAUUUUUACCUGCUAGAGGAGUGAAACACUUACUUUUAUGUUUUUUUUUUCCUUUACUUUUCUGAGGGAGUUGUUGCUGCUGUUAACCACUACCAACUGCUCUUGGUAAAAAUAUUGUUUUCCAAAAGCCUUAUAUAGUAAUAUUUGGUAUGAUAUAAUAAUAUGAUUCUGAGGCAUGCAAUGGUCAUAUAGUUUGUGGGUAAUACAUUAUUAUGCAUACCUGUUGUUAUCAAACAAGAAGAAAAGAAAAGUGAAAAGCCAUAUUAUAUGGUUUUGUACCAAGUUAUUAUUGCUUUUGAGAGGGGAAGGUGCUUCUCUUCCACACCAAGCUUUGAGGUAGGGGAUCUUUUACUGACACACUGCCAACUAUUUCUAUACCCAUUCCUCUCUCUCUCUCUCUCUCUCUCUCUCUCUCUCUCUUCAUAUUUUCUUUACCUAAAACAUAAGGAAUCUUAACAUCUUUUUUUUACCUUCUUGUCCUGUAGAGCUCUACAACUGGGGGAGUAGAUGGACAUAAAUGAGGAAUAUAGUCAAAGAGAAGACCAUGGGGGCAUUGUACAGCAAGAUUAUUGCAGUGAAUGAACUUGUGGAAUUGGAUUCUCAAGUCCCAGCUUAUGUGGAUGUGUAAGGAACAUGUAAUAAAUGUAUUGUGAUGGUACAAUAGUUACUGUAACCAUUCAUUAAUAGCUUCUGGCUUCAGCAAUAAUUAUUAUGUGAAAUUUUGGCAACCACUCCAGAUGUUUAUUUGACAAUCUGAAAGUAAUCUUUUCAUUAUUUAUUUAUUUGGGGGCAAUUGCUUAUAUAUUUUUUGAAAAGUUUUCGACUUUUUGAUUUAUUCAUCUUAGAAGGCUAAUAUUGAAAAUAUCUAUUCUACGUUCCAACCUAUUUCUAAUAUACCCGUAGAGUUAAAAUCUGUUAAUGAACUCUGUUAUCUCUGUAAAAUUACUAUUUUGUCCUUUUAAAUAUACCCUUCCACCAUCAUUGACUUUCUUAUUUGCUCUUAAAGUCAGGGGCAUAAAAAAUAUUUUGACUUUUGAUCUUUUCUAAUAUACCUCUCUACCGUCACCACAUUUUUUAUUUGCCCUUAAGUUAAGGGCAAAAUUGACAUUUUAAUUUUUUUUAAUUGUGGUAGAUAUUUAACUCAUGUUUAACCCAAGUUAACUUAACAGGAGAUAACUGCGGAAGUAUUUUGCAAUAACGGUGGAACAUAUGAGGGUAUUUUAGAAAGAAAGAAAAAAAGUAGGGAUAAAUCGAAUAUUUUCAAACAGUGAGGGGUAUAUAGGCAAUUAUUCCUAUUUAUUUAAUUUUAGAAGUGUUAUAUAUAAUUACAUAAAACUUCUGUUUGAAAAAAUAAAAGAUAGUAAUAAUACCAAACGAGGUCUAAAUCUCUUUAAUCUGAUUUGUGAGUAGUCGAUAGCUUAUGCGGAGGUAUGAUUUGAGUAUUCUUGUAAUCUUUUUUUUUUUUUUUUUUUUUUUUUUUUUUUUUUUCCAGUGAGAAGAUAGCAUCUUCAUAAUGUAUUAUUGUGAAAAUAAAAUGCAAGACUUAAGACUUAUUAUGUAUUUCCACGACAAGGAGUUUAGUAUGAAAAAGUGAAAAUGAGCUCUUGGCCCUUAAAGAGUUUUUUUUUUUUUGAGGAAUAGGUAGCACGCUACCUGCUUCAUUCAUUGAAAAAGUGAACUAAGCUACAGAGGUGAGGUAACACGGGCCUCGAAAGAGUUAAAAAAAAAAAAGAAAAGAAAAGAAUCCUAGCGAUUACAGUGGUGCAAAUUUAAUGACAGAUAGUACUUCCAUUGGUCCGUCAACAGUUUAAUCUUAUGUAUACCCAGCAAUGGGUCUGGAUUGACCGAUCUGAAGAUCGUACCGUUCCUAGCUUCCCAGAUGAUCCAUCAACAAGCUAUUAAACCGGUUGGUCCCGAAAGUAGGGAUGGUGAGUCCCUUCUACUUAUCCAUCUAUCCCAAACGAUAGUCACGUCAUCACCCAAGUCCCUUGUCUGUACAUUCUCCAAUGCCAUGACCAUAAGAAAUCUGGAAAACACGCACCGAGCGAAUAGGUGGUCCACUGUUUCCUCGUCCAUCCCACACAACGCACAGGACGUGUUACCAAUCCAUCCUCUCUUAAGUAGGUUGUCUGCAGUAAGGUGCCUCUUCUUGAGGACGAGCCAACAAAACACUUUUACUUUUAAUGGUAUACGAAUCCUCCAAAUCUUACUAGCACAGGCGUCCCUCGUACCCCCAUCGCACAGCCCGGAAUAGGUUGACUUUACUGUAAAGCGUCCGUCCGAAUUCCAUCUCCAAUGCACACUGUCUGGUCCUUGUUCAAUUCUAAAAUUGGAGAUCUCUGUCUGCAGUGAUGUAAUGCAAGAAUUUAAUCGAUUAUCGUUAGUUGUAUCGCAACCCAGGAUCUUGCGCCAAUUCCAUCCGUCACUUCUAAAGCACUCACUGAUAUUUAGUUUUUUGCGAUUCGAUAGGUGGUACACCUCCGGGAAUGACGAUUGUAACGUGGUGUCCCCACACCAGCGAUCUGCCCAGAAGUCGAUACUGCAACCAUUGCCUAAUUUAUAAGCAACGCCCCAUUUGAAGAUUUCUUUUUGACUCAGAAUUUCUCUCCACCAGAAAGAGGGAGGUUUAAAAGACCGGCCCUCCAUUAAUGGUCUUGUUCUAAGAUAGUAUAAGUUAUGUAUUAACUUGUUCCACUCCAACUGGGGCGAGGUAUGAAAUUUCCACCACCAUUUGACAAGAAGAGCUUGGUUCAUCAUGGCUAUAUCCAGAAUGCCUAAUCCUCCCUCUUUCUUGCUCCUGCAAACGUUUUUCCACGAAACUAGACAUCCCUUGCCAGGUGAGUUGUGCCCUCCGUUCCAAAAGAAGUCCCUUCGUAAUGCCUCAAUACUGUUGAUUGCCCAUCUUGGUGCCUUGAACACUGAUAGAUAGUAAAUGGGUAGGUUAGUAAGAACAGCAUUCACUAGUAUGAGUCUUCCCCCUCUUGACAAGAGUUUCGCUUGCCACCUUUCGAUUUUGCUUUGUAUUUUAUGGAUGACUCCUCUCCAAUCCUCCUUAGUAGGAGGCCUGAUAGAUAGAGGUAAGCCUAAGUAUCUAGUAGGUAGGCUGCCAACUCUACAAUCGAGAAGGCAUGCCAACCUUGUCACUUUCCCCUCAACCUGUCCAAUGUAAUAAAGCUCCGACUUCACUCUGCUAAUUCUCAUCCCCGAUGCCCAUUCAAAAAGCUGCCAUAAAAACUUCAAGAGUUAAAGAGUUAAAGUUGCUUCUAUUGUGGUGCGAAGCUGUAAGAAGGAUUUUAGCUCCAUUCAAAAGUUAGCUAUUCUGCGGAAACUCCAGCUUGGUCAAAUAGAUCUAAUUUUCAUAGUUCGAAAUUGUAGAGAACCUCAAGAAUCCAUAGAUGAAGAGAGGUUCUAUCUUGUAAGGAAGGGGAAUCAUAGUUACCAAAAUGAGGCCUCUAUUAUAAUCACCUAUUUUGUAUGUUUAGUCGAGUCGUUAGGAUAUAACAAACAUUUCUAUUGAUAGUAAAACCUUUGGGGCUUCUCGAAAAGCUCCACUUAUACACAAACCUACAAAAGCCCUACUCAAACAUUAGUCUCAAAUGUAAUACUAGUUUACGAACGAUCUCAGCUAACCAAUAGAUAGAGAAAACAUCACACAUCACACACUUCGUGAUCAAACAAGCGCGACCGUUAUGAGAACACGCAAAAACUUAAAUAAAUAUGUAUUAGAUAUAGAUAUAUAGAUAUAGAAAUUUCACUCUUUACUUUCCACUUUAUAAAUUAUAAAUUACCUUUUCUUCCAUGCCUUCCUAUAUACAAUCUAUUAAUCUUUUACCUCCACUCACCCACAAGCCAAGAAAGUUGCCACCUUUUCUUGGACUUCACCAAUUCUCCGUACACUUCUUAUUGAGUGCUUACUCCUACAAUCAUCAAACAACAUCUCUUGGGUUAGUUAAGAAAAAAAAGAAAAGAUAAGAACAUCAAAGCAAGGGGGAAAAAAAAAUAAAAAGAAGGUACAGUUUUCGCUUAAUUGUGUUGAUCAAGGGCAUGGUUUAAGGAAACAGUCGUAAGCACGCGUAAGUUACAAGAUAGACAUUUUUCUUUUUUUUUUUUUUCACGGCAAUCGAUGUAGCUUAUAUAAGGGGGGAAAAUGGUUAUCAGGAAUCAUUAGGGCACAAGCGAAAAUCCCAUCAUGAUAUCACUACGGUACGUUUAUUAGGCCCUGUUGAAGCUUCUACAGAAAUGUUGUUCAGUAGAACUACUUUAAGAUAUCAAUACGGACAUCUAAGUGAGAAGAUCUAGCUUAAGGACUCAAUUGUAUAUGGUGGACCGGCGCUAUUUAUCAGAAACAAGCCUAUCAAAUGUGAAUACUAUUUCCUGAUAAGUCUCUCCAUUCAUGGUCAGGGCGAAAAUCAAACACUAAGGGUGAAAUUGAAAUAGGGAUCAUCAGAAUUGUUAUGCGGAGUACAAAUUUGAAACAUUGAUCACACUUCAGGAACUAAAUUAUAAACGACCCAGAAAUUAAAGUAAAACUACACAUAUUGAUAAAACAACAGCAUCAACCCUGUAAUUCAACUGCAGAAGAAGACCUUUUUAACCUCCAUCAGAACUGAAAUAGGCAACUUCAGGCCUCUAGACAUAGAAGUAGAUGGCACCCUUGAUUCAGUGUAACACUAUAAAGUAAGAUUGAAUGUGUACAAUAAAGUAAAGCAAUGCAAAUACAUCUUAUGUUGCUUAUAUCUCCUGCAUGUCGAGCCGUUAAUCAACUCGAAGAGUAGGAGAUUAUUACACAGUUAUGUGCAAACAUGAUAGGAGUUAACUCUUCUCUACAGCAGCAUAUAAUGAAGUGUAACCCUAACUAUAUGUUUAGUGAUGGUUAAGAACCCUAUAAGAGAUGACAACACAGCACAAUUUAGGGCCUCAUUUGCCUACAUCAUUUCAUAAAAUGUCUUCUCCUUAUUGGGUCCCAAAUGUUCAUUAAUGGAUAAAUUGAUUGAUGCAUGCACUACAAUAUAUAGAUCCACAACACAAGAUUCUGAAGUGUAUGAUCUGAAUUGGUUUUCAUCCAUAACCAUAAAUAUUAAUUGUGAAUUACCCACAUAAUUGCUAGUUCUCAGUAUUGUCGCGAGAGCAUCAGUCAAAAAGAUAGUGCCUCAAGCUGAUUUUUUUCCCCUUUCCUUUCCAUCAACAUUUAAGGGAUCAAAAGAAAACAGGCAAAAAGCUAAGGCCUCACUUGGAUAAACCUAUUUCUCAAACAUGAACUCUUCGCGAUGAUUAUGCUUGCGGGAUCAACUUCUCUACUACUGCAAUUGUUGAUUAACCUGCAAAAUCAUCUUCGUUCGAAACAAAGCAGCAAAAAAGAAAGAGAGUUGUUUUUGACUGUUGCUUCAAAUAGAAAAACAGUAAGCUGUGAACAAACCAUCGUCUGUUGACAGCGCAGAUUCAAUCACAUACAUUUCGAGUUAACAAAAAAGAGACAAAGAAACAUAAGCACAGCAAUACCAGACCUAAACAUCAGUCUAUCAUCACCUGUAAAACUAAGAUAAAUCUGCACCGAUCUCUUCAGAACAUCUCAACAAACACUAAACAAAGAAUCCAACCACCGAAUGAUAUCAACAAAAAUCUUUAUUAGACAUAAACCACUGCUUUACAUCAUGGAAAUACUCAUCUAUAUAAGUUGGCUUACAUACUCAAGAUAAAACUGUCUCAGUGCAGAAGACAGUAAGAGGAAAAGGAGGAUUUGCAACAAAAACUGCAUGAACAUAAACACAUGCAGAUUAUACAUAAACAAGAUAGCUAAGAGCAACUCCGCUUAGAAAGCAAACAAAUGAAAUAGCCAUAAGCCAUUUCAUCCACCAAAUCCGCCACGACUGUAGCCACCAAGAUUACAGUGGGGAGAGAAUUGCUGACGAGCAGGGUUCCGAGAGUUUCGUAAGCCAGCACCCUGUGGACUGAGAUUACCAAUAGCUGGGUAUAAAUCAUAAUCUCCACCUAUGAUAGGAUACCUAUGGGGCCUAACUGGGAAAAUGGGCCUAGCUGGAUUAAACCUUCGAUCAGUUAACACCCCAAAUCUUAUAACUCUUCUAUUUGACACCUUAGAAGCAUUCUUUUUCUCGAUCCAAGCUGCGGCGAAUCUCUCUCUCCACCUCAUACCUUGCACUCCCGCCCCACUGGAAGACCCAAACUCCUUCUCAAACUUCUUCUUCCACAACUUAUCAUCGGAACAGAUAGCGCUCAUCUCAGAGCAAGUGCAAGCAAUUCUCGCUAAAUCAACGCCAGAAACAAGCUCCAAAAUAUCGGUCUUGAGAUCGCGGGAAAGACGCAUGUAGCACGGAGGCAAAGGCAGCCUAUUCUUCGCGCAAAUAUCUAUUAGUAAAGGCAAGCAAACCCCAUCUUUGACCAUGUUCCAGAGCUUCAAGAUCUCUUUCUCAUCCCUCUCACUCAUCGAAUCCAUGGCCAAACUCAGGAAAGGUGCGAUCUUCGACGCAUCUAUACAAACCCGGUAAACAUCCGGAUGCUCUACACUAAGAUACCCAUAAAUUGUAACGAAAUUCCCCAUUACAGAGCACCUCACAAUGGAAAAUUUGAUAUCUCUCUCUUCCAUUCGGUCCACAAGAUCACGAAGAGCGUAUUGAACGGAUAAAUUAGAAGCGUCUGAAGCCCAAUUUCGGGGCAAUCGAGAGCCAUCGCCUCCUCGCCCAACGAGGAAGCCAGAGUCGAGAAAAGCCGCAUGGAUAGUAGUAAGAAGGCGCCCGAGGAUCCCUUCGUUCUCCCCCUUCUCUAAAUCCAUCACCCUCUUAAGAAUACGCGGCACCAAAGACGGCUUUUUUACUACGACCGAGGGCUCCGGAUCCACCCCCAUCCGACCCUCCGGUUUCGAAUCUAGGGUUCCAGCGGUUCCAUCCGCAUCCACCUCCAUCCGAUCCUCCGGCUUCGAACCUAGGGUUUGGACGCGUCCAAAGGAAUCGGAACCGGGGGGGUUUGCGGGGACUAGGGUUUGUGAGAGUGGGGAGAGGGAGUAGAAGAGGAGGUCGCCGGAGGUGAGGCCGAGGGAGGGGAGGGGGUCGGCGGCGGGGGAGGAGGGGGCGAAGAGCUCGUCUUUGCGAUUGAGGGAGAGGUGGAUGGAUUCGGGGUCGAUCGGAGGAGACGAGGAGGACGAAGAGAGCUUGCCUGCGAUCAGGGUUUUGAGGUCGCGGAGGGAGGAGGUGUCGGGGGCGUCGACGCGGAGCAUCUCCUUCGUCGCCAUGGAUCGGAUCCGAAGCUUCAUCUCUCUCCUCUUCUCUCCUCUCCUCUUCUUCUUCUUCUUCUUAGGGUUUCGGAGCUUUCGAUUGAGAGGGAGAGAGAUGUGGGAGAGACCAACAAACACCAUAUGCUUGUUGGUCGCGGCAACGUGGUAGACCGGGCGCAGCAAAUUUUUGCGUUUUCGUGAUAAAUGGGCCGGGUCAUUUGAAACAGGUGACCCGUACAAACCCGGCCCAGGCCCAAGUAAUGUUUGGGCCUUGUUGGGCCUUCUCUUUUUUUCUUUAUUUUUUUGUUCUUCAUUUUGAGCCCAUGUGAUUGAGCGAAAAUUUUUCGGCCAUGGAGUGGCAGAGUGAAAAUGCGCUAAAACUACGUGACGGCAAAUUGAAGUUUACCUUUUUUUUUUUUUCUUUUUUCUUUUUUUACUUAUGAAAGAAUGCAGAAUUAUAAAUAAGUAUAUUAGUUGAUGUGCGAAAUACAGUAGCAAGAUAUUCUUUUUAUUUUCUCAAAUGAUAAUGCUGAACAAAAUACAUUCGUUUAAUUGAAAUAUUAUUUCUACAAAUUUCGCUAGAAAAACAAGCUCCUGAUAUUAGUUCACCAAUGUCGAACAGGCCUAAAUACCAAAUGCUAAUUAAUGCCUAAUAAGGGAUUAUUGGCUUUUUUACGUGUAUCUGUAUGUUUCAACAUUUCUUAUCUGAAUAUCAAGUUGUUUCAUAUAUAAUCAAUAAUUUUAUCCAUCGGUAUAAAAUGUUUGUUCAUUUAAUAAUGCAGAACAAUCCAAAUAAGUUUAAUUUGAUGAGAGAGAGAGAGAGAGAGAGAGAGAGAGAGAGAUGCAUCAAAAGUGUGUGAGCAAACUUGUCAAAAAUUUGUAUAUAUAUAUUUGCAACAUGAAUAGAAAAGGAGGGAACCAAAUGACCCCUUUGGAGUUCACAUGUUAAUUAGCAGGUACCAAAUUGGCAGUGGGGAGUCACAUUCAUGUUGUGAGGCAAUUCAAGGAACCCUUCAGUCAAGGGACCCAUUAGGUUUGGUCUCAUAUUUGGAAGUGUCUGAACCUAAAGUGUCGUCUGCACCCGACGUAUCUGUACAACAUUAUUUACAGUCAUUUAUCUCUAAAAGUUUAAGUUAUACAGAAUGACAUACACUCCCCCUCACUUCAAGGAUUUGAGCACAAAAUUCUUGCUCUACUGAUACUAUGUUAACAGUUGUAUACAGAACAAUGUACGCAGACUUCUACUUUGAUAUCUUGCUACUAGCUAGUCAGCCAAUCAUCGGAACUCAAGCUAUGCUCAACUUUUCUCUCUUACUAAACAUCAAAAGGAGUCUCUCAGAGAUUAACUGGAAUAUACAUAUUAAAGUAUAAGAUGUAAUGGACGGUUCGGAGAGUGCAUACAGUGUAUGUGAUGCAUGGAUGCACCGAAUGCAGGCGAUGAUUUUUUAGAUCACAAGGCACUGUAGAGACCUGGGAAAUGCAGGUGGGGCAGCUGCAUGUGCAAGAGGAGGGGAGCAGUGAUCUUAUUAAAUGAAGUAGAUGUUUUUUUGGGCUGGUGCUUUUUUACAUGCUGUUUCAUUUGGAGAGGCAUGUGUUAGAAAAUUGCGUACGGUAAAAACGCAGCGGAAAAAGAAAUCAAACAAAUUUGAUUUUAGAAAACUCUCGAGAUCCAAUCUCAAAAACCACGCGCGCAAUUAGGAUCCCUCAUGUUUUAAGAUUAAAGAAGAAAAACAAGAUCGAAUCUUUACCUUUUUCGUUGAUAGAUCUUCAACUCAAUUUGAUGAUCGUGGAAUCGGGUUCUCUUGAAGCCGCACACGCGUCCGGCCUCUAUAGGUAUCCACACGAGGUUCUUGAUUUGAUCGAUGUCCUCACCGGGGUGCUAGCUCCCUUGCAAAAGGACGUCUAUUUGCUAGAAGAUGGAAGAGAGGAGAGAGGAUAGAUGACGGCUAGGGUUUUCUAAAAACUCCCGUAUAUUAUAUAUAGGAAUAUAAUCCUAUUCUUAAUAAUAUAAUGACAAUUAAGGAUAAAUAUAAAUCUAGAUUUAAAUUUAUCUUUUCCUUAAUUGGUUAGAUCNNNNNNNNNNNNNNNNNNNNNNNNNNNNNNNNNNNNNNNNNNNNNNNNNNNNNNNNNNNNNNNNNGAUCAAUUCCUAAUUUGAUUCGACUUUAAUUUUUAAUUAAUUUGAUCUUAUCAAAUUAAUAAUGCAAGAUUUGCACAUAAGUCCUCUUAUAACUUACUAACUAUUAGUAAGUCCUCUUGUACAUUUACAACCUUAAUACCACUAACUUGUAAUAAUAGCAAAUUAUUCAAUUAUCAUUAUAUUGAAAUUAGGUCCUCCGGGAUUCAAUAAUCGCGAUCUAGCUAUAGCGGGAUCAAUCACAACUCUCUAUGUGUGGUGACCCUAUAGUUCUAUUCUAUCUGGUAGUGAGUAUAUUUUGAUCACUAUCACAAUAUUCACUGAACUCCUUUCAAUGGAAUUAGAACAUUUCCAACUCAGCCCAAUGAGAAUUAUGCGACAUUCUAGAUAAAUUCUCAUGAGUCUCACAAGUCACGUGACGCCUAGGCAGCUGUCAGUGGCAUUCAGUAGAAUGGAAUAAUGAACCUCCUUGGUGCGUUACCGUGUGAUUACAAUCCUUCUAUCAUGAGUCCGACUAGACGGAGGUCUUUAUGGAAUAACUCGUCAUAACGCCACAUCGUCGUGUCAUAUGUUAAAUUUAUUCGACGUCGAGUUUCUAAUAUCGGAAACCCUUCUUCCGCUAUUUAUUCCUGCCCUGGCCAGAUCUUCUAAACUCGGUCCUAUAAAAUCAAUGCGAUAACCCCUAUCUACAAGGGAGAUAGAUUCCAUCAAUCGUGCCGCGCACACUAUUCCACAGCAUGAACCUACUGCAGCAACAUGCCCCGCUAAGGACCGAAUGGACUAAGGGACCAAGUGAUGUACAGUCAACACUACAGUAACCCAUGUGAAUAGCGAGGCACGCAGGUCAAGGACCAGUCACACUACUUGGCAACCAAUUGAGUAAGUACAAUUGCAAGGAGUGAGCAGACAUCCAAGUUACUUUGCGUGGUCACGCUCGGUACCCUUGUUCUCUAACAACCACCUGCAUAUUCGCUUCAGUGUCCCCACACUGUCGACUCGAGACUCGUCUACCCAAAAGGGAAGCGACCUAUGCACCAAUCUCACUGGAUCAAUCACCGUCCCCGUGAUGAUCCAUUGAUCGAGAGCAUUUAGGAAUUAAUCACCAAUGACACAUGUCUCAAAUUCUCAACACUUGAAAAUAUAUGUCAUCAUCUUAUUAAUUCCUUGGACGAUUCAUGGACACAUACACAACAUGAAUGGAAAUAAAAAUUCAAAGUUAUUCAUAAUAUUUUAAAAUCAAAUACAAAAUUAUGUCCUAGAAAGAAUACAUGUGUCGGCCUUGUUGGCUUCUAGGGCAUACAUCUAACAGCAUGCACUAUUGUUGUCUAGGUGAGAUGAGAAAGCCUCUUUGAGUUUUUACUCUUCAUAUAAGAAGUGCACUAUUAUUGUUUAGGUGAGAUGAGAAAGCCUCUUUGAGUUUUUACUCUUCAUAUAAGAAGGGUGUUUGGUGUUGAAUGUAUAUAAUAUUAAAAACAUCGUUCUCUAGCAACUUAUUUUAUUAAAGAAAAAUGGUUGCUUUGUAUAUUUAACAUAGUAUCAAAGCAACAUUUUUUGAGUUAGAGUCUCGCUAAAUUUCCAUCACAAUUGAUUUUCUCCCAUUUAAUUCAAACCCACAAAUACCGUCCUCUACCAGCUUAACAAUUGGUUUUUUGGAGAAGCGUGAUUUUUUGCUUUUUUUCACGGUUUUUAUGUUCAAAAUUUUAAAAAUUCAAAUAAUGCAAAUAUUAUUUUUCUAUAAAAUAUGAAAAAGCAACAAAAAAAACUAUUUUUUCCAUAAAGCAAGCAGGGAGAAAAUAUUUAUUCAGCUAGAAAAUUGUCUUCUAUAAACCAAACACCUCCUAAACUAUAUAUAUAUAUAUAUAUAUAUAUAUAUAUAUAUAUAUAUAUAUAUAUAUAUAUAUAUNNNNNNNNNNNNNNNNNNNNNNNNNNNNNNNNNNNNNNNNNNNNNNNNNNNNNNNNNNNNNNNNNNNNNNNNNNNNNNNNNNNNNNNNNNNNNNNNNNNNNNNNNNNNNNNNNNNNNNNNNNNNNNNNNNNNNNNNNNNNNNNNNNNNNNNNNNNNNNNNNNNNNNNNNNNNNNNNNNNNNNNNNNNNNNNNNNNNNNNNNNNNNNNNNNNNNNNNNNNNNNNNNNNNNNNNNNNNNNNNNNNNNNNNNNNNNNNNNNNNNNNNNNNNNNNNNNNNNNNNNNNNNNNNNNNNNNNNNNNNNNNNNNNNNNNNNNNNNNNNNNNNNNNNNNNNNNNNNNNNNNNNNNNNNNNNNNNNNNNNNNNNNNNNNNNNNNNNNNNNNNNNNNNNNNNNNNNNNNNNNNNNNNNNNNNNNNNNNNNNNNNNNNNNNNNNNNNNNNNNNNNNNNNNNNNNNNNNNNNNNNNNNNNNNNNNNNNNNNNNNNNNNNNNNNNNNNNNNNNNNNNNNNNNNNNNNNNNNNNNNNNNNNNNNNNNNNNNNNNNNNNNNNNNNNNNNNNNNNNNNNNNNNNNNNNNNNNNNNNNNNNNNNNNNNNNNNNNNNNNNNNNNNNNNNNNNNNNNNNNNNNNNNNNNNNNNNNNNNNNNNNNNNNNNNNNNNNNNNNNNNNNNNNNNNNNNNNNNNNNNNNNNNNNNNNNNNNNNNNNNNNNNNNNNNNNNNNNNNNNNNNNNNNNNNNNNNNNNNNNNNNNNNNNNNNNNNNNNNNNNNNNNNNNNNNNNNNNNNNNNNNNNNNNNNNNNNNNNNNNNNNNNNNNNNNNNNNNNNNNNNNNNNNNNNNNNNNNNNNNNNNNNNNNNNNNNNNNNNNNNNNNNNNNNNNNNNNNNNNNNNNNNNNNNNNNNNNNNNNNNNNNNNNNNNNNNNNNNNNNNNNNNNNNNNNNNNNNNNNNNNNNNNNNNNNNNNNNNNNNNNNNNNNNNNNNNNNNNNNNNNNNNNNNNNNNNNNNNNNNNNNNNNNNNNNNNNNNNNNNNNNNNNNNNNNNNNNNNNNNNNNNNNNNNNNNNNNNNNNNNNNNNNNNNNNNNNNNNNNNNNNNNNNNNNNNNNNNNNNNNNNNNNNNNNNNNNNNNNNNNNNNNNNNNNNNNNNNNNNNNNNNNNNNNNNNNNNNNNNNNNNNNNNNNNNNNNNNNNNNNNNNNNNNNNNNNNNNNNNNNNNNNNNNNNNNNNNNNNNNNNNNNNNNNNNNNNNNNNNNNNNNNNNNNNNNNNNNNNNNNNNNNNNNNNNNNNNNNNNNNNNNNNNNNNNNNNNNNNNNNNNNNNUUGUCCUAUCAAGUCGUUUUGAAUGAUCGGAACUUCAAAUUGAUAAUCGGCACCGUUGAAAUUGAUCUACACAAUUAGAAAUGUUUAGAAACCAAAUUUUGUAAUAUUUAAAAAUUAUUAUCAAGUUCAUCUUAAGAGUUAAAAAAUGAAUGGUCAUAAAUGAAUAAUCUCCUUAAAAUAGUGGUUAGACUUUCUCAAUUCAUAAUCAGAAUUAUCAAACAUUAUUUAAAUAGUAUAAAAAAUGUUUUAUCAAAAAUUUAAGCAAUUUGGGUUGCUCUACACCGUUAAACAAGCAAAUGGCUCAUAUAGGCCGUCAAAAAUUGUCGAUUUUACGACACUUUGAUCACAAUGUAAAUAAUUUUUAAAAUUUAUGAAAUUUCGUUUCUAGAUAUUUCAAAUACUCUAGAUCAACUUCAAUGGCUCCGAUCAUCGAUUCGGAAUCUCUAUCAUCAAAAACCAUUUGAUAGGACAAGUGCUACUAUUCUAUAUCUAUAAUCUAUAAACCUAAAUGAAAGCACAAUAUUUCUUGUCACGUGGCAAGCCACCCUUCAUCCCUUCAUCCUCAUAAGUAAAUAAAUAAAUAAAUAAAACUACUCCCUCUAUCUAAAUAUCAAAUUAACAAAAUAACGCACCUGGUAUUGAUUUUAUUGCUAAUCAAUGUAGAUUCAUUGAACCACUAAGUAAUAGUGACAUUAAUCCCCCAAAAAAAUGCUUUGUAUUUUCUUUACUCUUUGACUUUUACAUUAUUAAACCAACCCUUUGCCUUUCCUCUAUAUAUAACGUCUAAUUAAUGCGUUCAUCCAAUUUAAUCCUAUCUAAACCGUAAACUUAGAAAUCCAUCCAAAAGGUCCAACCCUCCACCCAUUUUAAUCCUAAUAUUAUCGUAAACCAUAAAAGCUUAUGCAAAAGCUCUAUUCUCUCUUAUGCAUGUCAUGAAAAUGAAAGCCUAUUUUUUUUCUUAUAAUAAAUUACAACCUUCUUCAUUUAGCAAGAGGUGUGAAAAUCCAUUUAUUUUUUUUUUUAAAUUUCUAAUUUUGAUAUAUUAUCCUCUUCUCAUUUUGCAUGAGAUGUGGGAGAUGCGUCAGAUCAUAACGGUGGCAGAGGCGGUAAAUGUCAUGGCAGUGGAGACCAAGAUGGCUGCGGAAGAAAGCACGGGCAAUGACAGUGGAGAUCGAGGCGGCAGUGAAAUCAGUGGCAAGCCUCGCCCUCUUAGAGACCAACAUUAAGUGAGAGUUUCUCUAUUUUUUAUUUUUUUCUCUCUUCUUAUUUUCUACUUUUUUUAAUCUAAUUUUAAUCUAUUUUACAGUAUUUUUUGUAAUUAUUUGAUAGUUUCUAUUUAAGAUGAGUUCGAUUGAAUUAAAAAUCUAAUAUUUCUAUAAUACCUGCCCGUCGCAUCGCGCGGGUAACUAUACUAGUAUAUAUAUAAAGUGGGGAAUCUUGGAGAUUUGAAGAUAAAUAAACCCUGAGAUAAUAAACAGGGCAUGUACUAUAGUAUCUAGGAGGGCUUUAUGGAAUAUGGGACCUACUGCCAUUGCUAUAAAUGAAAAAGAAACAGGGGAAAAGAUUUAACUUGAAAAAAAAAUGGAUUGUUUUUUUGUGGAAUUUGAAGGACAAGAGCAAAAGUUAACUGUACAUUAGGCAAUAAAUACAUAGUGUACAUAGGUGGCAAGUACUAUAGGUUGCUUAAUUAUUUUUGACAGGUUAAAACAAACUCACGGGUGGUAUAUAUUUUCCAUUUAAUUGUGUUACAAUGAAUAUGAUUUUUCACAUCCCAUUUAUGAAUCUCAAAUGUUAUUUAUUGAGGCAUUUCACUCCAAAUAUAGUUGCAGGUACGGAUGCAAAUGAGCCGAAUCCAGGAGUCUCCCAUCUUUCUCCCUUUUUUUUUUGUGGGUCGGGAUGGAUUCAGGACUGUUAUUUUUUUUUUUCUAUUUUUCGAGACAAAAACAAAUGCUUUGCAAAUUUUUAACUUAUGGAGAUGAUUUUUUUUUCCUCAUAUCUGGUCCUUAGGAUGAAUCGCGGCAGAAUCUCCAUCGGCCUGGAUCCAUUUGCAUCCCUCCUUGUAGAACUUAAAUGUAUCUUUUGAAAAUUUAUAAUACCAUAUAUUAAAAAAAAAGUUGAAAAUCAUAUCACUUUAUUUCUGAUUUACAAUGCAAAAUUAGACCUAAUAUUUCAACUAAAGUAAUUAACAAAUGGGGGUGGCACCGACCGUCCCUAGCGCAAGUGGCAAAGGACUUGGUGGUUGGUAUCCGAGAUCCCAUGUUUGAAUCCUAGCUGAUUCACAUUUCUAACUAAGUUUAUUUCUAAAUGAAAUAAACGAAGCGGAUAGCAUGCUGCCUAUCUCUCUCAAAAAAACAAAUGGGGGUGGCGUUUUGAACUGCUUCAAUCUCCAGCAGAAACUUUAAAGAGCUUUAAAGUGCUUUUAGAAGAUAAAAGGGAAAGCAAAAAUCUAAAAAUAACUUCAUUUAUUUAUCUUGAUGAGAGAAAGUUAUUCUAUAACUUAUAUAUAUUAUAUAUCUGGGUGAAAUAAGCCCAAAAACAUAAAGCUAUGAUUAAAAUUGCUUCUUUAAAGUUUAAACAACUCUACUUUAGAAAACACUUUGGGGCUAAUACAAGCAGGCCCUUAAUUAAGCUGCAACACAUUGAUAAAAAAGUUUAUUACAUUUACUUAGAAAGGAUUAGCAAGCAAAAAUUGAGACAAAAAAAAAAAAAAAACCCAAAAAAGAACCAAAGUAUAUGUCAUAGAAUCCAAUGCAUGGUACAACAGAAGCAUAUGAUGUGGGAAUCUCUCUUAGUAUUUUGGAAUGAUUGGUGGUGGGGGAAUGUUUGAGGACUUUGAAGCAUCUUUUUUUGGUUUUCACAGAGGAAAAGGGGGGAAUGUUUCAAGUUGUUUAAAGCAUUAUGCACAGAUGUGGCAUGAGAAAGAAAAAACNAGUCCGGCUAUGGUGCUUGUAAAAGCACGAAACACUUAGUGCUUGUAAAUUUUUUACCAUUAGAUUUAUGCCUUUGAUCAUUUUCAACCGUUAGAUUAUACUAUUCAACCAACCACCACUCAACCCUAGGGAGCCAACGUCAUCCUAACUGCACAUUUUUUAAUUCAAUGGCUAAAAAUCUACAAGCACCAACAACUUGGUACUUUUAAAAGAAUAGGAGCUCAAUUCUAUAUAUAUAUAUAUAUAUAUAAAGUGGGGAAUCUUGGAGAUUUGAAGAUAAAUAAACCCUGAGAUAAUAAACAGGGCAUGUACUAUAGUAUCUAGGAGGGCUUUAUGGAAUAUGGGACCUACUGCCAUUGCUAUAAAUGAAAAAGAAAAAGGGGAAAAGAUUUAACUUGAAAAAAAAAAUGGAUUGUUUUUUUGUGGAAUUUGAAGGACAAGAGCAAAAGUUAACUGUACAUUAGGCAAUAAAUACAUAGUGUACAUAGGUGGCAAGUACUAUAGGUUGCUUAAUUAUUUUUGACAGGUUAAAACAAACUCACGGGUGGUAUAUAUUUUCCAUUUAAUUGUGUUACAAUGAAUAUGAUUUUGCACAUCCCAUUUAUGAAUCUCAAAUGUUAUUUAUUGAGGCAUUUCACUCCAAAUAUAGUUGCAGGUACGGAUGCAAAUGAGCCGAAUCCAGGGGUCAAAGGAGUCUCCCACCUUUCUCCCUAUUUUUUUUGUGGGUCGGGAUGGAUUCAAGACUGUUAUUUUUUUUUUCUAUUUUUCGAGACAAAAACAAAUGCUUUGCAAAUUUUUAACUGAUGGAGAUGAUUUUUUUUUCCUCAUAUCUGGUCCUUAGGAUGAAUCGCGGCAGAAUCUCCAUCGGCCCGGAUCCAUUUGCAUCUCUCCUUGGAGAACUUAAAUGUAUCUUUUGAAAAUUUAUAAUACCAUAUAUUAAAAAAAAAGUUGAAAAUCAUAUCACUUUAUUUUUGAUUUACAAUGCAAAAUUAGACCUAAUAUUUCAACUUAAGUAAUUAACAAAUGGGGGUGGCACCGACCGUCCUUAGCGCAAGUGGGAAAGGACUUGGUGAUUGGUAUCCGAGAUCCCAUGUUCGAAUCCUAACUGAUUCAUAUUUCUAGCUAAUUUUGUUUUCUAAAUGAAAUAAAUGAAGCGGGUAGCAUACUACUAUCUCUCUCAAAAAAACAAAUGGGGGUGGCGUUUUGAACUGCUUCAAUCUCCAGCAGAAACAUUGGUUAUGUUAGAGGUUCUUAUGAUAGAGAAGCUUUAAAGAGCUUUGAGAAGAUAAAAAGGAAAGCAAAAAAUAUUUCUAAAAAUAACUUCAUUUAUUUAUCUUGAUGAGAGAAAGUUAUUCUAUAACUUAUAUAUAUUAUAUAUCUGGGUGAAAUAAGCCCAAAAACAUAAAGCUAGCUAUGAUUAAAAUUGCUUCUUUAAAGUUUAAACAACUCUACUUUAGAAAACACUUUGGGGCUAAUACAAGCAGGCCCUUAAUUAAGCUGCAACACAUUGAUAAAAAAGUUUAUUACAUUUACUUAGAAAGGAUUAGCAAGCAAAAAUUGAGACAAAAAAAAAAAAAAAACCCAAAAAAGAACCAAAGUAUAUGUCAUAGAAUCCAAUGCAUGGUACAACAGAAGCAUAUGAUGUGGGAAUCUCUCUGAGUAUUUUGGAAUGAUUGGUGGUGGGGGAAUGUUUGAGGACUUUGAAACAUCUUUUUUUGGUUUUCACAGAGGAAAAGGGGGGAAUGUUUCAAGUUGUUUAAAGCAUUAUGCACAGAUGUGGCAUGAGAAAGAAAAAAAAAACAAAAAAAAGGAAAAGAGUAAGGUGCAUGGUGGUCAAAAAAGUUUACACUGCAUUUGCUUUGAGGCAAUUAAGCUGCUUUUUCAUAAUGUACUUCUUUGCAGCAGCUGCAGGAGAUUUAAGCCAACAAAAGAACAUCAUUUCAUGCAAUGAGUUUCCAAAAUCCCCCAACAUAGUGGGCCCAGAAAAGUUCCCCCAAAAAAGAACAUAAAAAAGAAAUACUAGAGCAUAUGUUUCCACCAAUAUUACACCUCAUGCAAUCACCAAUCUCACCAAAACAACAACUUGAGGAGGGGGGAAAGAGAAAAUGACCUCCCUACUCCCUUCACACAACUUGGUCUAGUUUCUACUCUAACCAUCAGUCCAUGCAGCAAAAACUGGCAUUUGAAUCCAAGAACUCACUGAAUUUUGAGAGAUAAACUUGUUUGGAGUCUUAGAAUAAAACCCAGUGAAACCAGCUUUCUCAGGGCUCCCCUCUCUAGAGCAACUCAAACUUGUCGCCAAAGAAGACGAAUUCGAGACAUGGGUGCUCGCCAGUUUCCCGCUGUCGUCGAUCUCGUGCCUCGAGUUCUCGAUCUCCACGUCGACCAGCCCGUUAAGAGGCGAAGCGAAAAUCGCCGCUGCUUCCCCGAUCGGCUUCUGCUCGCCAGUUUCGGAGGAUCUCGCUGCUGCUGCUGCUGCCGCCGCCUCUUGUUGGGCUGAUUGGUAGAGAACCAUCUUCCAAUCGGAAGCGCACUGGUCAUUUUCGUCGGUUAGAUUCAGAUUCGAGACUUCGUUGCAUGAUUCGAUCGCUUUGGCCUUGCGGGCAAGCUCUCCCGGGAGCAGCGUAUUGCUGGCCAUGAUCCUCUCCACGUCGUAUCGCGUUAUGUCGAAGUUGGUAACCGCAUUCGCCCCUCGGAAUUUUAUCGCGGCUAUGUCGUAGGCCUCCGCCGCUUCCUCUUGAGUACCUGUAAAUUGUCCUCCUAAAGUUUUAGGCUAACUAAUUCUACUCUAGUUAACCCCUACAAAUUGUAUUCAAUAUUUCUUCCGAUUACAAACGAACAUGUGAAAUGAAAAAGCUAAAUGUGUCGCACUCGAAAAGGCUUAAUAAUGGUUUAUUUUUUCAUAUUAAUUGUAGAUUAUUAGAAUAUUAGGCUUCUUAUUAGACUGAUAUAUAAACAAAGAACUCUAGUAAGUAGGAACUCGAUGAACUUACUGAACGUUCCGAGGUAAAGAUCUUUGUUUCCGGCUACUCUACCGAUUCGCGCUUGCCAUCGUCCGUGCUGAUGGUGCCUGAAAAAGUAAUAACACAAAAGAUUAUGCAAUGUUAAUUGCAAUCCUCAACAGAGAAAGGGUUUUUUUUUCCCCUUUUUUUUACGUGGUGUGUAUGUAGAAAGACCUUGUCACUCCUCGGUACAUCGAAGCGCCGCGAGAAAAUCCGCUGCUUUUCCUGUUAAUUGGUGUAGAAAAUUAAAGCAAUGCUUUUUGUUUUAAGUUGAGAAACAAAUAUAUGAAAUAUUGAAAUGGCAUGGAAAUAGUAUUUGCCUUCGUAAAUGCGCGACGUAUUCUUGCCUACUCAUGUUUUUCAUCUCCUCUAGCUCUUCUUGGUAACUCUCCAGCUUUUUAAUACAAACUAAGAUAUUAGGCCACUAUUUAACAGAUAAUGAACUACAACUCUGAUUAAACGAGUUCAAAUGAUCGAACCAUACAGGGAAAUUGAUGUGAGUCGAAAGUCCCCAGUACUUGAGCGCGGCUAAGUCGUAAGCUCUCGCGGCUUUCUCUUCCAUGUCAUAGCCACCUAAGGACAUAAGCAAAGGAAAUUCUUAAUAAAAAGGAUAAAAAGAAAAAUAUAUAUAUUUCCAAUGUUUGAGUUACUAUAAAGUAGGAAGAACCAUGCUUACCUAAGUAAACUGCAGGACACCAUUGUUUCAAUGAUAUUCCCCAUAGCAAAAAUGUGACAUAAAAAUGACAAAAUUUAAUACAUAAUCAGCAAAUAUGUCAUUAAAGUUCCAAACAAAAAGGACAAAAAAAAUCUUAAAAUGUAAAAAAAAAAAAAGAAAAAGAAAAAAGAGGUCCUGUGCUUAACCUUGUCUUCCUUUCCUUGUUUGGCCUUCUUUCUUGCAGCUGUUGUCCCAGAGAUGGGCUUCAUAUCUUCCAGUCCACCUGUGCCUGAUUCCGAAACCAAAUAUUAUAUUUCAAAAUUCUUUUAUUUUUUAUGUUAAUAUAUAUAUAUAUAUAUAUAUAUAUAUAGAAUUAGGCUGGAAUACUAUUAAUAGUAAAAUGCUUUUUUUGCUAUCAAGUUUUUAACCCUUGGAUGAAAAAUUAUAGGGUCAGGAUGAUAUUAGUCGGUUAGAGUUAAGUGGUUCCCCUAGGGUUGAGUGGUCCCCACUGGGUUAUAGUAUUUAAUCCAAUGGUUAGAAAUAAUGAAAAGAGUUAAUCCAAAGGCUAAAAAACUGGUAGCAACAAUGGGAUUUUGCUACUAAUAGUAGCCCAGUCCAACUCUAUAUAUAUAUAUAUAUAUUCUGGACAUGUUUCCUACUAGAUUGAUCUUUCGUUGUGUAAGGUCGUGGGAAUUAAAUUCCCGCAUUAUAUAAUGGGUUAAAUUUCCCAUCUCUUACCUCACCUAGUGAUCGAUUUAGCUUAUAUCAUACAUACAGCAAGAAAAUAGAGGUAAUUUUUUUUUUUAGUACCAGAUGUCUCAAUCCUUAUUAUUCAGCAUAUAUAACACAUUUUUGUUGUACCCAAUCAGAUUCACAAGCAGCCAAAAGAUUUAAAACAUGUAUAAGAUAUUAGAACUGGGACAGAGAUAUACAAAAUAGAAACUGAACAAGCACAACAUGAAAACAGCAUACAAUUGUGACCAAGUAUAUCACUAGCACUAGAGAGAGAGAGAGAGAGAGAGAGAGAGAGAGAGAGAGAGAUGUAAAUAUAAGUAAAUUAAAUAAAUAAAAUAAAAAAGGCAACAUUAUUUGAUUUACUGACCUGGUGACACCCCUGUAUUGAGAAGUUCUCUGCCCAAAUGUAUCAAUGGACUUCCUGUGAACAGUUUGCUUCUGCCCCAUUUUCCCACCCCCCCUCUUUUUGCUUGCACCAUCCAAGCCCAUGAUGCAUUGAUCAUUUGUUGCAGCAGCAGCAGCAGUGGAGUUAGUGGUUGUAGCAAGUGGUGCAAUCUCUUGUGGAGCUGUCACACAGCUAGAUUGAGACCCUGGGCUCAUGGACAAGCUCAGUGGCUUCAAGUCCCCAUACACCACUCCUCCCUCAACCAACCCAGUGUUAUUGGUAUUAUGAGCACUACCAUAAUCCAAUGGUGUGUUGUACAUCAACAUGCUCUCUUCUAAUGGUUGGAAAUAGGGGUUGUGUUGCCUGUAAUGCAGCUGGAGGAGGUUCAGAUUCAAAGGGUGGUUCCUAUUGCUCUCACUCUCCAUGUUUUGGUUGUAGUACAUUGUGGUGUUGUCCAAGCUUAAGCCCAUUGCUUCUCCCUCAUUGGUUGGAGUUGGAACACCACCAUUACCACCUCCUCCUCCUCCUCCUCCUCCUCCACCACCACCACAACCUAAGAAGUCCUCUAGCUUGGGGGAUGGAGAUGGCACCAUUCCUUUGAUACAUCAAACCAAAGUAGAAAAGAAGGAAAAAAGUUAAUUAGUUGGUUUUUCUUUUUAAAAAAAAAAAAAAAAAGAAGCUUGAAGCUUGAUGUAUGUGUAUAAAUAUAUACCUUGGUGCUGUGAUCUGUGAAGAGCUUCCAUGAUGCAGAGAGAACCAUCUGAUUUGAGAGGCAUGAUGGGGAGCUGAGAGUAGAGAGCCUCAUUGUUGUUGUUGUCUCCUUCAACUCCAUAGCACAUGGUGGGAGGAGGAGGAGGAGGAGGAGGAGAGAGGAAGAAGCUGCAUGGGAGUGAGGAGGAGGGAGAUGAUGAAGGGGGGCCAUGGAGAUGAUGGUGGUGUUGAUGGUGAUGAUGGGGUGGGUCAGAAGACACCUCCAUGUUCAUUUGAGGGGAGAGAGAGAAACCCAACCAGUUGUUGCUCAUGGCUUUCAUCUCCCUCCUCCACUCCACCUUCUCGAGAGAGAGUGAGAGAGAGAGAGAGAGAGAGAGAGAGAGAGAGAAUCUAACAAGAACCUAUGCAAGUAACCUCAUUCAUUGAGAGGAUAAAACAUACACAAACUAUAUAGAAUCAAAACAAGCAGCAAUCCUCUCGCAUUAUAUUCUUCUCAUUGGUGGAGAACAUCAACAUGGGGCCCCUUCAAACUUAAGCCAAAAAAGAGAAGAAUAGCUAGCUCCACCAAGCAAAGCAUGGAUAGGGAUCUGUGUAGAGAGAGAGAGAGAGAGAGAGAGAGAGAGAGCACCUAAACCCCACUCUUGCAGCCUUUUAUAAAUACAAGCCCUUAAACCCUCCUAAAAGCCCUUUGCUUAUGAGAAGUACAGCAAACAUCCCACUACAAUGGACUCUCUUUUGAUUUGCUCAUGACCAAGGAAGAAGUGAUUGAAGAGAGAGAGAGAGAGAGAGAGAGAGAGAGAGAGUUAAUGAGAGGUUGCCAUUAAGGAGCUUUUCUACUCUUUCCUCUUUCUUCUUCUCCUUUCCUUCCCCUUCUUAUGCUAUAUCUAUAUCUUUAGCUGGAUAGUGGUCAGAGAGAAACAGUCUCUCUCUCUCUUUCUACCUCUAUCUCUCUCUCUCUCUCUCUCUCAUGGCCAUGAGAGAGAGAGAUAGAUAGAUAGAUAGAUAGAUUUAGACAGAGAGAGGACAACUGUCUCAACCAGUCACUUCACAGCAGUACCAUCUUCUGUACCACACUACUGCAACAGCUACCCCCCAAGGAUCCAAAUUAAAAUCAUAUGCCCAACCUUGUUCAUUCAAAAAUCAAAACAAACAUAGAGAAAGAUUGACAAAGAGAGAGAGAGUUAGAGAGUUGUCUAUGUACUCCACAAUGAGGGCAAUGCUUCGUGUUUUGCAUAUUCUGAUGCAUUUAAUAUCUUUCUCAUAUGUCAUUUUCACAUAUAUGACAAUAUGAAUAAUAGUUAGUAUUUAUAUAAGGUGUGAUUUUUUGAGAAUAAUGCAAAAUAAUUAUUUGUAGGGAUCUGAUGCACCUCAAAAACUAUUGUUGUGCCAAUUUUCAUCAAAACUUUAAUUUUUUAUUUUUUUUGCCUUUUUGCAUUACUAAUUAUUAGAGAAAUCCAAAUACACUCUUGGAAUACCUUAUGUAUGAGAAAGAGAGGUGGGACUAAUAGUUACAGUUGAUAUUGAUAUUUCAUUACAGUUGUAUACAGGAGAAAUAAUAAAUUGAGAUCCAGUGUGGGAAUAGGGAUGGGGAACCUGUGUUUUGCUGAAAACUUGCAUGUUCAUAUAAACAUGUCAUGCUUUUUUUUGAGCUACUGGGAUGUAGUCAACAGCUGCUUCCAGACAAAAAAGUGGUAUGUGGGUCUCCAUGACAUGCUUCAUAUAUUCCAGGAAUGAUGAGGGAAGGGCCCAAAAUCAUCAAAAAAUAAAAAUAAAAAUAAAAAACAAUAAAAAGAAAGAAAAAAAAAAAAGAAGAAGAAACUCUCUCUCUCUCUUUCUCUCAUGCAUGUUCUCAUGUGAAUUGAUAUCUAUGUAUACUGUUACCUACUCAGUUACAGGAAUCAAGAGGGCAAGUAAUUACCGACCGUCUGUAGAGUAAGUGAUAAAAGACUUGAUGAUUGAUACCUGAGAUCCAAGUUCAAAUUCUAAUUGAUUCACAUUUUCAGCUAAAUUUAUUUCUAAAUGAAAUAAAUGAAGCGGUAGCGUGCUACCUAUCUCUCUAAAAAAAAAAAGAGGGCCAGUAAUUAACUACAAUAAGUUCUUAAUUUAUAAAGGGAAAACUUAAAAUGCUACCUAUGUGGUUUUACACUUUUUUAUUUUAAUAUUUCGUAGUUUAAAGUGUAUUAAUUUAAGACCUUAUGAUUUCGUACUUUCUCAUUUUAGUACUCUGUUCCUGUGGUUCAAAGCGCAUCAAUUUAGUAUUCUGUAGUUUAAUUUUUCUCUUUUUGUUGGCUCCUCUGUUAAUAUUUCGUUAAAUUAUAUACAAAAAAUUUCAGAUACCCUACCUAGGUUUAUCGAAUAUUUACUUUAGUAUUCUUUAGUUUUAACUUUGUCACUGAUUUUUUUUUCCUCCGUUAAUAUUUCGUUAAAUUAUAUACAAAAACUUUAGAUACUUUAUCUAGGUUUACCGAAUAUUCACUUCAGUAUCCUUUAAUUUUAAUUUUGUUAUUGAUUUAACGCAAAUAAUUAGUGAAAUGGAUAAUAAAAAGAGAAAAAUAAAACCAUAAGAUACUCACUUGAUAUACUUUAAACCACAGGGUACUAAAGUGAGAAAGUGCGAAACCACAGGGGCUAACUUGAUACAUUUUAAACCAUAGGGUACUAAAGUGAGAAAGUCUGAAACCACAGGGGCGGGAUUUGAAGUUUACCCUAAUUAAUUUCAAUAAGUUCUUUAAAUGGUUUUGGAAGUUCUUCUUUUUCUUUUUUAGUUUCCUUCUAAUUGGAUGCUAAAAACUUAGUUUGAAUUAAAGUUAUUACAUGGGUUUUAUUAAUUAAGGAAAGUGGUGUGUAAUUGCAUGGGUCCUCUCCUCUAAAGCCAGAAAAACAGCUUGAAAGUACAAAGAGGAAUGUGCCUAACUUCUUAUUAAGGGAACUUGUUAAUUCUAUAAUUUAAGCUGAUUAAGGGCCCUCCUUAAUUAUAAUGAUUUAAACUGAACUUUGCCUUUUGAUAGAUAACCCACAUGUUGUAUUCUAAUGUUCUGAUUACCGCGAAAUCAUCACUCCCUCUUCCCCACGAAACAUAUAAUUAUAAGCUCUUUUUUCUCUUGAAUUUUAUGGCUUAAUUGCUUGUUCUUAAUGAAGUUCAUACAGAAUUAAGUAUCAUUUGCACUGAACUAUUUGAAGAAAUAUUAGUAUUAUUUUAUUUAUACCAUUUUAAAUAUUUUAGAAGUUUCAACGAUUAAAUUCAUGUUUCUUGUUUUUCAUAAUAAAAAUAGCUACUUUAGAAGGAAAGUAUUUAAUUGCGUCACCUCUUCUGAUUAAAUUCAUGUCUAUCGCUUUUCAAAAUAAAAAUAGCUAUUUUAGAAAACAACUAUCUAAUUGCAUAAUACGAUCCGAUCCGCUAGUAACAAUAACUUGUUGGGUCCAAACCACUUGCCCAAUGCUUAAAUCUAGUUAUUAUUACUAGCGAUAUUCUAAUUAAAAUCGUUGUUUAGACCCUGACGUUUUCGUUAUGUUCAAAGCCGAUAACAGACAGACAGAUCAGGACUAGAAUUAAUGUGAGAUUUUGGAGAUGGAUCUUACGGGUUCAAAAGAUGACUCCCACCAAAUCCGUUGGUCCAAAUCCGUUGGUAUAGCAUUUUGCCCCGCAUAGCACUUAGCUCUCACACUUCCGGCUGAUAUUCGGCUCUGAUACCAAUUGUAACGACUUGACCCGCCGGCAAUAAUAACUCGUCGGGUCCAAACCACCGACCCAAAAUACUUAAGCUUAGUUAUUAUUACCAACAUGCGAGGCCUCAUAUAUUUUAAUCAAAAUCAGUUUUUUAUCCGAUGUGGAAUUAUUGGGGUUGGGGUGUUCCAUUGCAUCACCAAAUCAUUGUGCUGAGAAGAUGUGGCGUGAGAUGCUUGCUUUGCAGCUUGAUAGGCCCCCUAAUAAUAAUAAUAAUAAUAAUAAUAUAUAUAAAUCCCCUACUUAGACUAUUUUAGGAGGGAGUAAUGAGCAAUGUUGCUCAAUAUUUGGAGCCCUUAGAAACUGGGAGGUGGGGAUUAUUAUAUCUCCUGAAUAAGAGGCUCCUAAUUAUGGCUCUUCUAUGAUGAUGAUGAUGCAUGCAGAUGUGCAUGGCUUUUUUUGGAGACAGAUUUUCAAGCAAAAAUGAUUGCUUGGUAUCAGAAAAGGAAAAGGGCAGUAGUAGAGGGAUUUGAGCAUCAGGAAUGAGAGGGGAAGCUGCAUGCAUGGGGUCAUCAGGAGGAGUUGAGAUUUGUUCCCUAGACUUAGUCGAUCUCCAUCAGUUGUAGACCAUUAAUAGCAGAAUAAUAGAUCAAAAUAUACGUUAUAAAUUCAGACUCUAGUUGAUUUUAUCUAAAGGAUUAAGUUCUUAACACUUCUGCUUACAUAAAUAUCAGGUAAACUAUGUCACGUGCGUUGAUUCGAAAGGUAACAAAAAAAAAUGCAUAUAAAUUGGCAGAUAUGAAAAAUAACCUUUCAGAAUUUAAGAUUAUUUUUUGUUGAAUGGUGAGGAUUGAUAAUGAGAGGUUGGAUGUGUGAAUGGUCCAUGUGAUGACAUGGUGGAGUAGAUCCAAGCAAUAGUUUUUUGCAUGAGAAGGAGAUUUCUUUGGCAUGCCCCCCCCCCUGAUCUCUCUUUUGAUUGUUGCCAUCAUGGUGGAGACCACCAGCUAUACAACCUACAUAAAGAGCUUUUUUCCCAUAGAAUAAUACCCCUAGCUAGUUAUGCUACGUGUACCUACAAAUGGACCCUAAAAUAAUUGUUAAUAAGUUAUUUUCUUAUUUAUACAUAUGAUAGGUAACAUUUGAUUUAAAAUUUCAAACCUUAGACAACUUUAAAAUAACAAAUUAAUCUUUAAUAAGUGUCCAUUCAUCAUCAGCAAUAAUGGAGGAUACAAUUUAAGGCACACUAAGUAUUAUUAGUCGAAGUAUGUCUCUUCUUUGUCUCUAUGUACUUCCACAGCUAAAGUAAAAAAUUCAAGUAUCAAAGGUAAAAGCUCCGAUUUAAAAGCUUUAUUAUAUUAUAAAAAUAAACUAUAUAUUCUAAAAACUUAAUGUGGUCCUAAUUAAUAUCGAUGUUUCUAUGUAGCUACAAACUCGGUUAGUAUGAUCAUCUUCUACCUACGGUAGUCUUUCAUUCCUUUCAUUCUUUAGAUAUCGAAUUUUAACUCCAUGACUUGCUGUUUUAUUUCGAAUCUAAAGUUCUUAGAGAUAUCCUACACGCGUACAUGGUAGACCCGGUCCACACAAUUAAUGAUUCUUAAAUAAGCCAAAAUUGUUGGAGAUAAUUAUUUGGCCAUGCAAAUUAAAUUUAUUUGAUUCUAGCAAAGAGGUGUGCACUGCAUCGUCCAGGAUAUAUAUAUAUAUAUAUAUGUCGCAGAUUUUGCACGGUAGCCCAAAUAUUAUUACAAAUUCGCACCUGAAGAUAUGCCCAUUUGCGUGUGGUACAUCGCAUUUACUAUGUUAUAUUAAUCUCAUUAAUUAUCAUAUCUAGCUAAAAACAACAACAAGGAUCAUAUAUAUGGUUGUUCUUUAAUAAACACAAAAAAAAAGAGAAAAAAAAAUUAAAAUAAAAUGAUUCAUGCAUGCUCCAGAAACUUGGACAAAUUAAUAUGAUAGUACAAUGUCGGUGAAGGUAUUAAAUAGUCCUCAAUUUUGCAAGCAUGCAUGUGCAUCGUAUAUAUAUUAAUUUUGCAGUGAUGUUCUACGAUUGUACUUUCGCUUUUACUAAUGCAUAUAUGAUCAUUUUUAUGUGGCAGGUGAAGGAGAUCGCGUACAACUCUUUAAAGUUCGAACUAAGUGUGCGGAUUUAAUCGCAGAUUCACUUAGUUUUUAGAAAUAAAUUCAGCAAGAAAUAUAAAGAAAUUAAGCUUCGUACUUGAAAACUCAGAUACCAACGAUCAAAUUUUAGUCAACUCGGUCACUAAAGAAAUAUUUAUAUAUAGUUUAGAAAUUUUCUCCAUAUGAAUACAUGAUCAAUUUUCUUAAUAUUUACAUUACGUUUAAGAUAUUAUUAUAAAUUUGUUUCGUUAAUUGUUGUAGCAAAUACUCUAAUAUUAAUUUUGUGAGUUUUAUUUGAAAAAAAGUCAAUAGAAGAAAUUUUCUUCUAUUGAAUACGAGACUAUUAUUCUUAAUAUUUACAUUGCAUGUACAAGAUAUUUAUUGUAAAUUAGUUUUGUUGCUGUAACAAAUAUUUUAAUAUUUUGCGAGUUUUAUUUGCAAAAACUCGUCAUAAAUUUUAUUUAUUUUUUCUCUCUGAUCAGCUACGGUAACUCGAGAUCCUCGGUUCGUCUUAGCUAGUACAAUUUCACAAUGUCAGGGUCAAAAUCUUGGGCUUAAAAUUAAUGAAAUGGGACACAAAAUUUGCAUAACCGUAUCAUGAUCAUAUAUAUAUAUAUAUACAUACCCUUUAUUUAGAGCAAAAUAUUUAAUGAUAGAGGUAGUAAUUAAUUAAUGAAUUAAUUCUCUAUUUUACUGCUAUCUCUUAAUGCUGAAUAUUAUAUAUCAAUUUUACUUAUUUUUAUAAAUUGAAUACCAAUUUUUGUUAAAACUAAUCAAUAAAUUCAUUAACUACGGAUAAAAGGUGUUAACGAUUUAACGUAUAAACAAUGGUAAUUGUCUUUAUUUUCCUAAUUUUUGCUAUUUUUUUUAAAAAAAUUUUGUGAAUCCUACAAUUUGAGGGGUGUGAUAUUUAUACCUAUAUAAAAAUACGUAGGUAGCAUUUUUCUUAAUUUAUAAAGCAAGGUCUUAUUCAAAAGUUAAUUAGUUAAUUAAGUAUAUAUAUGGUGCAAAUUAUGUUCUCCAAUUGAGGAAGUGUUUUUUUUAUUUAAUUUUUACUAAAAUAUUAUUUUAUUCAAUAGGAUUGUCAAAGUCUUUUCUUAAUUCUUUUUGUUUAGGUCAUUAAUCAGGGCCUGUUUGGUCCUGCUAAGAGUUUUGUUUGUUUGUUUUUUUCUUUUUUACUUCUAUAGGAUAUGGUGUAAUUUAAUGCAAUACUAUUUGAAAGAAUAAGCACUACAUUUAAGUACUUUGCACAAAAUUUUCGUACAGCAUAACCAAAAAUAUCAAACUAAAACUGGAACUUUUUGUUAGAUUUGUCUCUAAUUCUAGAAUUGCAAAAAAAAUUUUAACUCUAUUAUGUUUUGAUUAUUCCAUUAAAUUAACUUUAGAUUGUCGCUAAUUUUUGUGGGUCUGUAUUUCUAGUUGUAUUAAAAUUUAAUUACUAUUAUAAAUAUAGCCUUUAUUCUAUUAGUUUGGUGUGGCAGAUGAAAGAAAGGAUAUGUGUAUUUUUGGAAUUAGGGUUUUGUGACAGAAUCGUAUUUUAUACAUUAUUUUAAUUAUAAUGAAGAUUCUCGUUCCGUCUUCAUCUGUGGACAUAGGUUGGUGAUGGAACCACAUAAAUAUUAUGUAUUUUAUUUAUUUAUUUUUUAAAAUCUUUUUUAUAUUUCUGUACUCGACGAACUAAAUCAUUUUCAUUUUCAUAAUACACUUUCAGAAGAUAAGAGAGAGAGAGAGAGAGAGCAGUGGUCCAGUACACCUGAAGCAAUGACAGUGUGAGUGAUGGUGGUGCUUUUGCUCUUCCCCUGAUGAUACACUACAAAGCUGAGUCAAAACCUAGCCAGAUAAACUGACUUGAGUUAUGCCAAUUGAUUUGGCCCCAGCUACAUACUAGCUACAUGCUAGCUAGUACAGUGUACAACAAUAUGUACCUAGCUAGGCCAAGUUGCAUUUAGCUUUACAUAUAUUUUGUCUUCUACAAGACUAGCAAAAUAUAGUAUAAAAUGAGCAUGGUUAUCUGUAAUAAACAUUUGGUAAUCUGAAAAGUGAGAAGAGUGUUUGUUUCACUGAGGGCCCGUUUGUUUUGGUGUAAGUGGAGUAAUAGAACUCAAGUUUCAUCACUUUCGUUAUUUAUUUUGAUGUAAGUGAAAAAUAUAAUGUAACUCAAGUUACAUUAGAGCUCCAUUUCACCUACUCUCGACUUCUUCCUCUAAAGUGCCGAACUCGACUUUUACUACACUCAACUUCCUCUAAAAAAUUUAUUAAACAGUAAAACCUAAACUCUACUUCCUUUAUAAUGGGUUAGAAUUACCUUAUUUAUAAUAAAUUAGGAUUAUUUUUAAAUAAUAAAAAAAACUAAUUAUAUAAUAGAUUAAAUUUUAUAGUGGUAAAUUUACUACUAUAUUUAGGAGAUAAUAAGAUCCACUUACUUAUAUCAAAAUAAACAACGGAACUCAAAAAACUAAUUUUACCAGCACCAAGUUACAUCAAAACAAACAACAGAAGUGAUUGAAUUUAACUUUCAGGCGGUACAAGUUACGUCAAAACAAACAAAAAAAAAAUAAUCACACUUCAGGGAAACUCAAACACCACUACUCUUGAUUUACGUUGAAUCUACAAAUACGUCAAUCCAAACGCCCCCUAAAAUGAAGAGUAAUAAAAUAAUUUUCAGUCGUAAAUGUUUGUUUUUAUUAUUUGGUUUUCCGAAAUCUUAUUCACGAUCGAAACUCAAAUUUUUCGAAAUAUCGUGAUCGACUUCAGUUCAUCUCGAGCUAUGAUUAAUUACGGAAAGUAAAAGUGAAGAAAAAAAAUAAUAAAAAUAUUUAAAAUGAGAAAUUUUAGUUUUUAUGUUAUUCACUUCCGGUCGAAUAAAAAAUAGAACUGAAAAAACUUUAGUUUUAUAACUAGACAAACAAACGGCGGAAGAGAAGUAAUUUUUACUCGAGAAUUUUUUUUUACCUAAAUUCUAAUUCACUUGAAAUUCUAUUUUAAUCCAAACUUCACCUUUGAUUAAAAAAAAAAAAAAAGCAAAAUUAUGAUUUUCAGGUGAAAAUAUAAAAGUUAUAAACUCAUGAGGGCUUCUAAUUCUACUGUGGCGAAACAUUAUUGAGAGAAAUUUAAUAUUUUUGUAUUUUUGGUAGUAGUACUUGAUCCAGAGAAAGUAUUUUAUCAAACAGCACUAUAUUCUACGGACUAAUUUAGAGUACCUAAAAUAUCUACACUGUGUUGAAGUAUUUAAGGUCAAUUACAACAACAAAGAUGAAGAUAAAGAAGACAACGUGAUCUUAUUAAAUCGACAUGUUACUAUUUCAUGUACACUCAUAAGUGUUUAUUUUAUUUAGCUUCUAAAAUAGUUUCUCUAUUCAAGAAAGUAAAAGCAUUUCUAAAAUGAACGACAUGUUAAAGUCUAAUGUUUGGAACCUUGUGAAAAUACUACAAGAAUUUUUAUUAAAUAGUCAAUGUAAACAACACUUCUGCGAAAGUUGCUGAGUUAUCAAACCAUGUCCACAUAUAUUUUGCCAUUGUUCUCAUGUAAGACUGAGACCAAGUUGCUACACUGCAAAGCAAUUUCAUCCAUAUGGUACUAAUUUGGCCUCAUUAUAAACUUCUAUUAUUCCUCAACUAAGGAACAAAAGGUGAAUUGAGCUUUGUGGACCUAAUUUUUAGGCCUUCCUCUUUUUUUUUUUUUUGGUUGGUGUAUACAUUAUAAACCUUCCCUUGUAUUUUGAGCAUUUAUGUACAUUUUAUAAAUCAUGAGAUGGUAAAUUAAUUAUAGCACUUUACUGUCUCCCACUCAUAAUUUUUCAAACUGAAGUUUAUGAAAUAUAUUAUUUUGCUAUCCUUUCUCAACAAAAAAUCUUGUGAAAACUAAAGGCUUAAUUACACUACACUACAUGCUAUAGUUAAAGAGUUCUUUUUUUAUCUAUAUUAUAUAUAUUAUAUAUCUAUAUAUAUAAUAUAUUUUCAAAGAUACCAAUAAUUUAUUUUUGGUCACUCUCUCUACUAUAUAUGAAAAUUAGCACAUUGUUUACAGCAGUAGAGUGUACAUUUAGCCACUUUGACAAGAAAAAAUUGAAAAACACCAGAAAAUAAUGUGAAAAAUAGUUAAAAAUAACUUGACAAAAACUUUCAUUAAAUCUAUUUUGAUGGGUUAUUUUUUUUUUCCUACUAUCUAAAUACUGUCUUUUAAUAGAGUUAUUAGUUUCUAUUUAAAACAACAGACUUGUUGCCAGUUUUUUUUUUUCAAAAAUAAAGUAGUAUAAAGCAAGAAAAAAAAUCUAAAAGUAAAGUGUAAAAUUUGAUUAAAAAAAAUAGUUCGAUAAUGUCUUUUCAUUAAAUCUAUUUUGAUGGGUUAUUUUUUUUUUCNUACAUAUAUAUAUAUAUAUAUAUAUAUAUAUAUAUAUAUAUAUAUAUAUAUAUAUAUAUAUAUAUAUAUAUAUAUAUAUAUAUAUAUAUAUACACAUAUAAUGUAGAGCUACUAUAUAUGCUAGCUAUCGAAAGUAUAAAAGAGUUGGUCAUUGGAUCAAGAAUUGUGUGUCGGGAUGAUAGUGAUCCUCCUAAGAUAAUUAAUAAUAUUAAUCCAAAUAUCAGAAAUGAUCAAAAUAAUUAUAAAGGCCAAAAAAUUGAAAACACAAACUUCUUUAUACUUCCCAGAUUAAGUAUAACAGCUCUACGUACUAUAUAUAUAUAUAUAGUAUAACAAAUGAAAAUAACACUAAAGUACAAAACUUAAGCAAAAUUACAAAGAGUGUAGUGCUGUAGUUUGAACUACAAAAUAAUAAACUGUAAAUAUAUUAUAUCUUAGAAGUGCUUCUUUUCUUCUUCUUCUCAUUAUUUUUUUCAUUUUUUGAGCCUGAUAUAUAUCAUGCAUACAAAAGAAACAGUAAAUGGCCCACCACCCUUGGCCCUUAGCCUCAGAUGCUAAAGUGGAAGUAUAUAGUACCCAUAUAAUUUUAGCCUCACAUGAACAUGAGGGACCAUAACAAAAACAAAUGACUUGACAAGUCAUGGACAUAUUUGGGGGCACUCUCCUAGUACACAUUAUUCGAAUUAUCACAUGAUUUUCCUUUUUUUGUUUUGAGAAUGAUAGGGAUUUAAUAGUUGUAUAUAACAAAGACAUCCUUAAACAGAAGGGGAAAAAAAAAAAAAAUCUAUCAUCAUGGUUGGGAAACUUCUAAUACACAUGAUGUUCUUAUGUCUAUAUUAUCCUCACUUUUAAUAAUUAUGCUUGCUUUUGUCAUCCUAAUGUUUGUGUUAUAAUUAAUAUGAAUCAAGCAAAGGUUACACGUAUUUGGAAUCACCGCAGGACACGAUGUCGUAUAUUGUGAGAAAAUGCAAUAGAAAAAUAUUUUAUUUGUUUCUGUCCUAUCUAGUUUGUUAAAAUGUAAUUAUUAUGGUUUCAUCAAAAUAAAGAGAAUCAUAAUUCUAUAAACUUUUUUCACCUCAUUUUUUUUUUAGACCCAUCACAUUAAGCUGAGAUUAACAUAAAAUUAAAAGCCUUAAAAGUUUUUAUAUGUCAAAUGUUCACUAAACUGUUCUAGAAAUCAAACCAAUCACACACAAGUUGGUAUUUGAAAUGGAUUAAAAAAAAAAAAACAUGCUAUUUCAUGGCUCUUGGCUUUCUUGGUGGUUUUUGUUUUCAAUGAUAGAAAUAGAAAAAAGAAAGGAGGAGGGAAAGGUGACAUCCUAUUUCCUGCUGAGCCCCUGAAACAGUGCCAAGAAUAAUACAAAAUUUAAAUGUAGGGGGGUGGGGGUGUGUGGGUGUGGGGGGGACUUGUCCUUCACAUGGGGAGCACAAAAUCCAAACAAAAUCCAAGCAAAGAUCCCAAGCAAAGAGCACAGAUAGCCUAAAGGUAAAGGAGGAGGAAGGUCUAUUUGGAUGGCAACUGAAUGAGAGUGACAAGUGCUUCUGUACAAAGAGAAAACAUAACUAAAGUCAGAGAGAGAGAGAGAGAGAGUUCACAUGACAUUCCACUUCCCUCUUAACUCCCAUAUAAGUCUGUUCCAUCUUCCGUUUGCUUUUCUCUUUAUCUUGUAGUUAUAUUGUAACGUGUCUGAAAAUAUUAGUCAGAUUUGUAUAUAUGAUAGAUUAUUUAGUAAUAAAACACGGAGUGGAGUUCUAUUGCCAGAAUGUGUCGAGUUCGAGUCCUACUUAUUUGAGAGAGCAAUAUCAAAGGAUGUCGAGCUCUCAGUUGUCAAAGGGGUUUUUUUUUUUUUUUUUGGAGAUAAGUAGCAUGUUACUCACUUCGUUUAUUACAUUUAGAAAUAAAUUUAGCUGAAUAUGUGAAUCAACGAGAAUUCGAACUCAAAACCUCAUAUACCAAUCACCAAGUCUUUUGCUGUUUGCGCUAGCUAGGAACGGUCGGUUUUAAAGUUUUAAAAAAAAAGUGACGAUAAAGUUUUGUUAUAUGUUAGUAGGCACAAACCUGCAUGUCUAAGACACUGGUUGAAAGUCAGAAAGUUAUCUAAAAAUAAUUUAUUUGGUAUAAAGAUUUGUAGCCAGAUUGUAAAAGAAAAUUUUAUUUUUUAUUUCUUGAAAAAUAUUGAUAUUCAUAAUUUUAUAGAAUAAUAUAUUUCACUUACAAUAUGAUUUAUCUUAUUUAAUUAGAAAAUGACUUGAAGGUCGAAUACCAUAUCUAGUUCUAAACAUUUGAUUAUUUUUUUGUUGUCUACUAAAUAUACAAGUUUUACAAAAGAACCCAUAAAGAUAUAACGAAUAAGAUAUCCACGCUUCAACUAAGUUUUCGAGCUUGAUGGAUUCCAUUAGUUUUGUCGUGUUAUUUGGGCUAUUAUGGUUUAAAGCUGACUUAUUAAUUAUAUUUUGAUUUCAUUUAUAUAAAACACAACUAAUAGUUUAUUUUCUUUGCCCCCUCUCUCUUACUCUCUAUCUAUCUAGAUGAAUGGGGUCAACAACAUCUAGGGGGACAUUGUAUCAAAUGUCCUAAUCACUUUAGAUGCACCUCUCCUUCCAUCUCCCUUGUCUUAAAACCCCACAAAAGAUUCUGAGGUCCUUACACUAUCUAUAGUCCCUUGUUUUACUCUUGGGUGCCUGAUGGGAAAGAGGAGACAGUUGUGGGGUCAUAACUCAUGUGUAACAACAACACACAUAUACUGCUCACUACAAAAAAGUGGUUGGAUUAAUUAGGUAAGAGAAAAAAAUUCAAAAAAAAAAAAAGGAGAGGAUAAUGAAGCCAAAGCAGGAGGAGCAUUAACACAAAAGCCACCAAAAUAAGCACUGCACCCAGAAAUGCUUUUCUCUUCUUUUCUUUUUUUUUUUUUUAAUGGUGUGGGGUCCUUUUCAAAGCACAAAUGGGAUGCAUGCAUUGCAUUGCUUGCACAUUCCCCUCUUUGUAACUUUAUUUGUGUGUGUGUGUGUGUGUGUGUGUGAUUAAAGGAGCCAGUGAUGAGAUCAGAGCCUUCAAUGCCAAAGUUGUCUUUAUGGGGGGGUCACUACAGGUUGCUUAAGGCUGAAAAGAGCUUUGUUUUCAUUCCUUGCUUUUGCUUUUGCUUUUCUCAAUCUCUCUCUUUCUUUUCACACUUUGUUUACAAGCAUAAUUAAGCUACUACAUAAAUCAACUUACUUUGUUCUGAGUGAUAAUUGAUAAGUAGGAGAUUUGAGGAGUUACUUAACUGAUGUGGUUAUAACUUUUGUUGAGGGGCCUCAACAAUAAGAGAAAAAGAGUUUCUAUUAAUAAUUAGGACUUAAAAGCUUAAUUUGUCAGUUUAUUAUUGGUUUGGUGCUGAUGACAUGAUGAUUUUGAGGAUGAAAAGUACUUCCCUGUUCUAGUUAACAUGAUUUUGUAGAUGAAAAGUACUUCCAUGUUCUAGUUCUAGUUCACUAAUAAAAUACCUUUAACAGCUUCUUGUUAUAGCUAAAAGCGAAAGCCUCUAACUGAAGCUUCUAGUUUUAGCUCCUUGAGCUAGCUUUAGCUUUGCCGUAUUGUCAGUGUUAAAUGUAAAAGUAUUUAAAAAUCGUUCUCAAUUAGCUUAAAUUUUUAAAGUGCAGCGGUUGUUUAACAUGAUAUGAAAAUAGAAGAUUUUGAGUUCAAAUUACGCCAAGCUCCUAGCAUCAUUAAUUUUCUCCCAUUUAAUUUAAAGCUCAAGUCACGAGUCUAACAAAAGAGUUUUACAUGAGAAAAAAUAUUAAAUGUAAAAAUAUUUAAAACACAAGUUAAAUUUUAGACUACAACGGUUGUUUAACAUAAGAUUUUAGUUUUCGCUAUAGAUAAUAAUUUGUAUAAGCAUCACUAAAGAACAAAAAGGCAAAUCUCUAUAUUUUUCACCAAACUUCUUUUUUUUCAAAAUUAAUUAAUCCCGAGACAUUUCCUGUCAUAUUGAUCUGUUAGGUAGCACGCUACCCGCUUCGCUUAUUUUAUUUUAUUAACAAAUAAAUUUAGCUGGAAAUGUGAAUCAACUAGGAUUCGAACUUGGGAUCUCGGAUACCAACCACCAAGCCCUUUGCCACUUGCUCUAGGGACAGUCAGUACGUAUUAUUUCAUUGUUAUCUCUUCAUCCAUUGCUGUAGCAUUUUCUUAGCGGGUCAGAAUGAAUUCGAAAUGAGUUAAAUUUUAUUUUUUAUUUCCACUUAUCUUUAUUUGAUAAUUUUUUCAUAAAUCAGGACAGAUCAAAAGAAGAAGAAUAUUUCAUCCCCGCUCUAUUUUUUAGUUGAUUAGGAUAGAUUCGAAGCGAAUUAUUAUUUUUUAUUUUUUACUUUCACUUACCACCUGUUCUGAUAACAUAAUGUUGGUGGGUUUUAUUUCAUAAAUAAAUGACAUGAGAGUACAUAAAGAAGGUAAAUGCUUUACAAUGUCUUUUUUUAUUUUUAAUUUUUUUUAAAAAAUAUUUUGGAAGGGAGAGUGUAAUUUGCAUGGAUCAAGUAACAUCAAAUGCACCGACCUAUUACUCACUACAUUGAGCUUUUUUUUUUUUUUUUUUUUUUUUUUUUUUCCUUCUUUCCUGUUGCUUGAUUUGAUUGGUCAUUUCGUGUAGUCAUAUAUACAUAUAUAUUGCCUAGACAAAUUAUUACCUACCUACUACUUAUAUGAAUCAUAUGGAAUAGAUGUUCCCAUGUUUGUAUCACAUCAAACACUUAUUUUUGGCAAAAAAGUACCUUUCCCCUUUAAACAUAUCGUAUGGAAACUAAACAUAUCGUAUGGAAUCUUUGUCAGAUUCUAAAUUUUGAUUAUACUAUUUCAUCUUCUGAUUGUACUAUUUAACAAGUAAAAAAUUUUGAUUUUGUUACUUUAUCUAUUAAUGCAAUUCUAUUUGAGCUCUUUGAUGGUUAUUUUGUUACAUUACGAUCCAUUAAAUUAAACGCCACGCCCAAAUUAUAAAUUAUGAGAUUAAAAAUCAAAGUUUAAAAUUCGUAAUCGACCUAAGUUCCACACAUUUUCACCUAUUCAAACAAUUUGAGUUAAAGUAGGGUUUGGUGUGGUGGAUAAGGGCUUCUGGGCUACGCGAGAUCGAGCUCGGGCGCAAUCUCAGCCCAACAUGCAAAUUCGGGCUCGAGACCUCGACCAAAAACUUCGGGUACAACCAAAUUGGGUGCAGGCCCAACCCACAGAAAAAAUGGAGAGCAAAUCCAAGUAGGUUUAGAAGUCGAGCCCGAGAAUCUGUUUGACUUCGCUUCUGCUUUAAGCUAUAGCUGUUACAAGUACACCGUUAGAAGUUUCUGCCAUAGCGGGAAACAAAAAUUGAGAUUUCGAGACCCAAAAGUAAAAGCCUCACUCUGAAACUUCUGAUUCGGUUAAAGCUGCUGAGAAACAACACUCUGUCAUACACCAUUAAACCCGUAAGUAACUACAGAACAGUUGGAGACAGUAAAGUCCAACGUAUAAAAUUAUUAAGUUGCGAAUUGAAGUACAAGUACAAUGAACAGUAUAUAAGAACAUGGGGAUGCUUCAGUGUAUGCAAUUUUCAACCAAAUAAUCUAUUGUAGCCUAUCAAACCAAAACAAAUUAGCUCACAAGAAAAUUUACAUAUGCUGGUUAAUACAUGAAAAAAGAAUCAGAAUAGAUAAUCUUUGAGAAAUCUAGAACAGUUCCAAAAUUCACAUUAUUAUUAUGUGCCAUCUACAAUUGCAUCUGAAUAAUGUACUAUGAGAAACAUCUGCACCUAUUCCACCAUAACAAAGAUAAUUACAGUUGAUUUACACUCAGAAUCACCUAUGAUUACCAAAGAGAAUGUUAAAUUUGGUACCUUGAUCAAUGAGGUUGAUAGAACAUUAACAUUUAAUGAACAUCACCCCAGGUUCUGACCCCAUUAGCACGAAAUGCAGAUAGCAGAGAAUGCGCAUUCAUCCAGCUGUUCCAGCAUCCCUGAUGAUACCCAAGAUAGUACAAAUAAGUAGGGUCAUAUAUCCAAUACGCGGUUUGUGUAUUUUGAAAUCCUGCGCCGUAUGCAUAACCGGGAUAACCGAAGCUGUUCAUCAUGCGAACGCCAUAUCGACGGCUAGGAGAAGCAUCUCCUCCUGCGAGACCGCCUGCAUAGUUAUUGUUUCUGCUGCUGUUGUUAUUGUUGUGAGCUUUGCGGAACGCUCUUUUAACUUCGAUAAUCUUGUCCCUCAGCUUAUAAAACUGACUCCGCGGUACUCCCUCGACGGUCUCCGCGGUGUCGAAUACGACAAAGCCGAAACCUCUAGGGAGUUUCCGAGCAUGAUCAUACAUCAGUACAGCAUCAAUAAUAGUGCCAAAAUGGGCGAAGAAGCUCUUGAACUCCUCGGUUGUUAUGUCGGGUGGCAAACCGCCGACAAAAAUCUUGUUAGGUAUAUAAACGGUCUCAUUCUGGUCGCCGUUAAUGUUGUUGUUUGCACAACCACGGUAUUGAGAUUGAGCUUGGAUCGGCCGAUGAUCGGUGAAUUCAUGGUGCUUGGAUGUAGAUGGAUUUGCAUCAAGCAAGAGAAGCAUAAUGGAAAUGUUAGCAUAUAAAUGCACCAUAAAAUGUAAAUGAUAAUCAACUAUCGAAAAAAAAAAAAAAAAAACAACCUACAAAUAAGAAAGCAAAGAAAAAACUGUGCACCAUAAUAAACAGAGAUCUUCUUCUUUUUUUUUACCAAAUUAAUAUAAAUGUCAGUUAAUAAUUUUCCACAGAUUUUAUAAGGAAAACAUAUUAACAAGUUAAUACACAUCCAUAAUUAAUCCUCAUAGUAAUUAACUAAUAACAUUUUUAGUAGUAAACUGAUUAACUUGUUGACUGAAUACCUAACAGAUUGACUAAUAAAUUAAUUAGCUCAUUAAAUUAACGAACUAAUAUAUUAGCAUAUUAACUUGUUGUUCAUAGUAGACAAAGUAAUUAUCUAAUUUAUAUACUUCUCUACCAAAUGGUGUUUUACACAUGUUCAUAAGUAAAAAAAAACUAAUUAGCUAAUUAGUAUAAAUUAAUAAUUUGAUACUAGUUAAUGAGGCAAAGUACUUUUAUCUUAGAACUAUAAACACUCACUAUUCCCAUUAUUCUAUCCUAACUAUCCAAAAUCACCCAAUUCUCAGUCAUACAAAAAAUCUAGGAAUACGCGGGAGUAACUUAUUCUCAAACCAAACGGUACCGAUACCAUAGUAAAGCCUCUGAAACAACGACAGCUUGUGCUUAAGAGUUAAGGGCACAUCUGAGGUCGCGACAUAUGAUUACAUGUACUUUAGAUUCCUUCGACUCUUUCGCUGCAUUUGGUUUGGGGAUAAUUUGCUUACGGUGUAAAAAUAUUUGAGUGAUUCUCGAUUUCAGAAGCGUUGAAUAUUAUAUUAAAAACGCUGUUCUCUGGCAGCUUAAAUUUUUGGAGAAUAACAGUUGUUUUAUUUAAUUUAACAGGAAGGAAAACACCUCCAUUCAAAAUGAUUCUUAAACUACCAAUUUAUACAAUUAAUAAGAUUAUCUUUCUCGAUAUCAUUUGCUCGAGAAAGAUACUUCUCGCUGCAAAGCGCGGAUUUCUUUCGCUAGUCCUAAAAUUCAUUUUCUUUUCGUUUUUUUCCGAACUAAUCUGUAAAUUCAAACCCCCCUAAAAAAAAAAGGAAAACUAAUGAUUUUGGCGAAAUAAACUGAGAAUGUUACCAAAUUGAUUGAUAAUUUUACCAAAUUUAAAAAUUUAAAACUACGGUAUGACAAAUACAACUAGAUUAAUUAAUUGUUGAUAUCUAAUCAAGCAAUAAAAUCCAGCAAAAAUUUUUAACUUAAUUAGCCAGAAAAAUCCGAAUAAUAAAUUAUAACAAUUAAAAGCUCUUACCUUCCUCGAAUUCUUCAACAUCGAAGGACGGCGAGACGACGACGACGACGACGAAGGAUUCAUCUCUCCAAAACCCUAAUUCCCCAAAAGAUUUGUUUUUAAAAAAUUAGAGAUAAGAGAUAAACAUCUAAACAUAUACUCGAUCCAAGAUUUAGAAAAGAUACGAAAAGAUUUGAACGGCGGAGGAGACGAAACCCGCCGCCGUGCCGCGGCGGAGCGCCGUCGCGUCGCCGGCGAGUGUAACGACGCGGGCCACUUAGUUUAAAAAUAGAAACCGAAGGGUUAAAAUGUAAUUUGAAGCUCUGUGCGAAAAUGUCGGAAAACACCCUCAAAUACAACAUAUUUGAUAUUAAACCCCCCCCCCGGCCACUUUAAUUGUUUGAUAAAAUUGUACCGAGUUUAAUUGGACUGUGAAUCAUUUUGAAGCAGCAAUCCAAUCUUUUAAAACUUUAAUUUACUAUCUAAUAUUUUUUAAAUUUAUUUUAUUUGAGUCAGUCAAUGAUAAUUUGAUUUUAAAUUUUAAAUUUUAAACACAAUUUUCGUAACUAUAAAUUUAUUACAAUAAAUAAUUGGUUUAGAUUUUAAAGUUAAAAUAAAAUAUUAUUAAUUGGCUUAAAUAAAAUAAAUUAAAAAAUUGGAUAGAAAAAUUUAAAUUUUAAAAGAUUGAUUAGCAAAUUCAAAAUGGUCUAUAACUUAGAUAAGCUCUAUACGUGUUUAGAACAUUAUGAAAUAGUGCCCUAAGUUAUUUCUCUUUUAUUUUUUUUAUAGAGAUCUCUUAAACUGUUAAUUUUUAGUAAAAAAUUUUAGAUACGUAUCCAAUUCAUUAGUAAUUUUAUCAAAUUUGAUAAAUAAAACUAAGUCAAUUAAUAAUUAAUUAAUAUCAGAUAAAUUUAUUUUUAAUGGCUGAUUCACGAAACUGGGCCUUGGGCCAUCGUAUAACAUUCGUGGGCCGUGCUAUCUCUUUCUUUCUUUCAAAUUAUUAUUAUUAUUAUUAUUAUUAUUUAUUAUUAUUAGUAUUAUUAUUAUUAUUAUUAUUAUUAUUAUUAUUAUUAUUAUUAUUUGGAGAGGCUAAAAUAUAGAUAAUUCUCUUGAAUCAUACNACAAACCCCCUAAACCUAAAAAAGAAAAAAACCCUAAUCGAACCAAAUUACACCUAGAUUACUUAUACUGAUACAUAAAUCAGUAAAAAUUCACAAGGGGAUUAGGAUUUAGAGAUAGAGAUAGAAUUAGAGAUUAGAUUUAACAGAUUCGUUUUUAAAAAAUUAGAGAUAAGAGAUAAACAUCGAAACAUAUACUCGAUCCAACAUUUAGAAAAGAUACGAAAAGAUUUAAAAGGCGGAGGAGACGAAACCCUCGCCGCCGUGCGCCGCGGCGGAGCACCGCCGCAUCGCCGGCGAGUGUAACGACGCGGCUAGGGAUGUCAAUGGGUAUGGAUACCCGAAAUAUUAUCCAAAUUCGAGCCCGAACGGGGCGGGUUUAUCGGGAGUUAAACGGGUAUGGAUUCGGUUAAGAAUAUAAAAAAUAAAAAUCUGACGGAUAUGGAUACGGGUAUGGAUUUUGUUACCCGACCAGAGCCCGAACCAGAAUCCAAAUAAAUUAUAUAUAUACAUAAUUUAUUUUUAUUUAUUUAUAUAAUAUAUAAAAUAUUUAAUAAUUUUUAUUUUUUAGAUUUUUAUUCAACGGUAUGAAUUUUUAAAAUCCGUCGGGUUCGAGUCAGGAUUCGGGUUUCGGGUUUUUGGCUGAGUACGGAUAUGGGUAUUGAUUUUUAAAACUCGCCAGGUUCAUGUCCGAAUACGGAUUUUAAUUUAAUUUUCGAGUUCGGAUUCAGAUUUUUAAAAUCCAAUCCAAAUCCGACCCGUUUACAUCCCUAGACACAUAGUUUAAAAGUAGAAACCGAAGGUUUAAAAAGUAAUUUGAAGCUCUGUGCGAAAAUGUCGGAAAACACCCUCAUAUACAACGGAUUUGAUCUAUCCCCCUCAACUUUAAUUGUUUGAUAAAAUUGUACCGAGUUUAUUUGCACUAUGAAUCAUUUUGAAUCAGCUAUCCAAUCUUUUAAAACUUUAAUUUACUAUCUAAUAUUUUUUAAAUUUAUUUUAUUUCAGUCAGUCAAUGAUAAUUUGAUUUCAAAUUUUAAAUUUAAACAUAAUUUUCGUAACUAUAAAUUUAUUACAAUAAAUAAUUGGUUUAGAUUUUAAAGUUAAAAUAAAAUAUUAUUAAUUGGCUUAAAUAAAAUAAAUUAAAAAAUUGGAUAGGAAAAUUAAAAUUUUAAAAGAUUGAUUAGCAAAUUCAAAAUGGUUUAUAACUCAGAUAAGUUUUGUAUGUCUUUAGAACAUUAUGAAAUAGUGCCCUAAGUUAUUUCACUUUUAUUUUUUUUUAUAGAGAUCUCUUAAACUGCUAAUUUUUAGUAAAAAAUUUUAGAUAGGUAUCCAAUUCAUUAGUAAUUUUAUCAAAUUUGAUAAAUAAAUCUAAGUCAAUUAAUAAUUAAUUAAUAUCAGAUAAAUUUAUUUUUAAUGGCUGAUUCACGAAACUGGGCCUUGGGCCAUCGUAUAACAUUCGUGGGCCGUGCUAUUAUUUAUUAUUAUUAUUAUUAUUAUUAUUAUUAUUAUUUGGAGCGAGUUUAAAAUAUAGAUAAUCUCAUUGAAUCAUACACUUCUCAUUCCUAAAAUACACAAAAAAAAAAAAAAAAAAUCCUCAGUUUUUGUGUUUUUAUGUUUAACCUCUUUUAUCUUUUUUUUUUUCUAUGUAAUGUUGAAUAUGCAAAAUAGAAACACCAUUUUCUUAUAAUUUAAGGCUUUAAGCUUGUGAAAUUUUUUUUUUCACAUUCUUUAUGAUUACUUUAUUUAAUUGUUCUUUGAUUUAAUUCAAAUUUAUUGUUUGAACUAUCAAGAAAUCUAAAAUUCAAAUAUAAGGAGAAGUGUUGAAUAUAUAAAGUAGAAAAGGAAUUAUAUUUAUAAGCUGCUUAAGAGCUUAGAAAAGGAUGUGAAUAAAAAAUCAUUUUAAAUAAAUAAGAAAUAUGAAUAAAAUUAAUUAAUCAAUUAAUUAAAUUCUGUGACAAUGAUAUAUUUUGGAUUCAUAUCUUGGUUUUACAUUGGAUUAGUAUCCAAUUGGGUUAUUUUUUUUAUUUAUUGCGCAAAUCCCAACACCGAGAACAUGCAACAACAAACACUUUAACAUACACUAAUAGGGGAUUAAGUAGUAAUUAAUUAUUUAAUUAAUUUAGUUUUGCAUUACUUAAUUUCCAUGUGAUCUUACGCAUGCAUUAGUAACAUCUUGGUUAACGAGAAAUGACCACCUAAAAGUAUGCAACAAAAAUAAGGUAUUAGUUAAUAAAAAAAAAAAUUAUGCAUAAAAUUUAUCUGAAUUAUAAAUUAUUUUGAAUCGAUUACUCAAUUUUUCUAAAUUUCGAUUUUACUUUCCAAUUUUCUAUUCAUUUGAUUUGAAUCAAUUAACUUAUUUUGACUUUAAAAUUUAAGCUAAUUAUUUAUCUUAAUAAAUUUAUGGUUGCGAAAAUUAUAUGAACUAUACUAAUUAAAUCUGCCACGAUAAACAAUGCAUUUAAAUUUUUGACUGAUUCAAAUCAAAUAAAGUAAAAAGUUGGAUAUAAAAUCGAAAGUUUAAAAGAUUGAGUAGGUAAAUCAAAUUGAUUCAUAGUUUAGGUCAGCUCUGUACAUUUUUACUAAAAAAAACUACAACAUAAAAAAAAAAAAUUGUGUUUUUUUGGGGCAAAAUUUGUAGGUAGUCCUAAAACUUUUGAUGAAUUACACACACGGUACACUUUAUCUUUUACUUGUAAAAACCCGCAAAACAGUUGAUUACUCUAAAAAUUUUAAAUUUUUUGUUAUGUAUUUAACAAUAGACUCAGGCUCUCUUACUACGAUAUCAUGUUAUUAAGCAACUAAUUAUUCAACAGGAUUAUAUAUUCAACAGGAUUAGCACCUUAAUUAUGUCUCCUCUGUAUAAAAUUUUCAUUUAAAAUCUCCACCAUCUACUUUGAGUAUAACAACAAAUUUAGGAAUUCCGUUGCAAGAAAAUAUAUAUGACAAAAAGGAAACAUUGCUAGAGAAUAGGUGAAAAGUGAUUAAUCAAAAGUUUAAUUAAGGACUAUAUUAUAUUUACAUCCCUUUUUUGCAAAGAGAAUAUGAUAUAAGAUUAGGGUUGUUAAUUAAUUAUCCCACCUUAAUUAUUUUUUAUCCCUGUUGGUGUGCGGAAUCUUUGUUGUAUUCCUAGGAAAGAUCCUUAAAAUAGGAAAUGCACCAUUCAUUGGGUUUCCCCAAACUUAACUUGCAUCUUGCAUUUUUUUUUUUUAAUGGUUAAUUGCAUACAACUCCCUAUAAACAUGACGAAUUAUAAAUAUAUCGCUACAAAAUUCAACUUUCUUAGGUUAUUCCUGUAAAAGUUCUAAUAUUUUUAGUCCCUGCUGUUAGGAUCCGCCAGAAAAAAUUAAUUAAUCAUAAUUAAAAUACUUAACCCUGGUUAGUUAAUGAGGUAAAUUGAUAUUUUACCCCUCUUAUUAUAAUACAUUUUUCUCUUAAUUAAAACCCUAGCAAUGAAAACUCUUUUCUUCUUCCUCUUCCUCUUCCUCUUCCUUUCUCCCUUCCAUGCCAGGUUCGAAUCCAUAACUAGAAUUUCUCCGUCCUCAUUCAUAUAAGACGCGUGUUGUUUGUCCAUAUCGAACGUGUGUUGCUUUCUUAUUCAAUUUUCUCUAUAAUUUUUUUUUAUUUUGCUUAAAAAAAAGCUUUAGGAACAAAGGAGUGAGAGAAGAAAUUAUAAUAAUGGUGGAUUGGGUUGGGUUUUAAAGAAAAAGAAGAUAAUCAUUGAAAAUUUUGAAAGUGUGCCUACGGACUCAUGACCUGCAUAUUUGAUUAAAAAAGAAAAAAAAAACUUAAUUUAUGUGGGGAAAGAUGUGGCCUGCUUAUAAAACUUUGGAAAUAAAACUUAUAAUUGGGCUAGAAUGUUAUCAGCAGCAAAUAGGUUCUGUUGCCAUUCAUUUAUUUUCAAUAAUAGAGUUUCUAAAUCAAACAAUCGGUAUUGUUGAAUAUGAUCUAUAUCACUUAAAGUAUCUAACAAUUAAAUUUAGCAGACUCGCAAACAACGUUUGAUCACCAGCCCUAAUUUUGAGAUGUGAUGGUUAGGGAUGUCAAUGGGUUGAGUUUGGGUCGGGUUUUCAAAAAGACGAAUCCGAACCCGAAAACUAAAUUAAAACUCGUACCCGGACCCGAACCCAGCGGGUUUUAAAAACCCAUACACAUAUAUAUCCGUCCUAGACCAAAAACCCGAAACCCAAACCCGUAUCCAAACCCGGUGGGUUUUAAAAAUCCAUACCAUUGGAUAAAGAUAUAUGAAUAAAAAUUAUUGAGUAUUUUAUAUAUUAUAUAAAUAAAUAAAAAUAAAUUUUAUAUAUAUAUAUAUAUAUAUAUAUACUGAUAGUACCGUACCAUAAUACUAUAAAGUUUAUUGGGCGUUCCCGGGUUCGGGUUCAUGUCGGAUUUGGAUUUGAGUCGAGUAAAUACAAAAUCCCAUACCUUGUAUUUAUACUUCGCCGGACUUUUUAUUUUUUUUAUAACUCCACCCUAACCGAUCCCAUACCUAUUACGUUAGAUAAAUGUCACCCUCCGUUUAGAUCGGAUUCGGAUAAUAUGUUCGGAAUAUUGGCAUCCCUUAGAGGUGGUAAGAUAAAGUGGGGGGCGCGGUGAUGAGUGGGGGUGGUGUUGUUGGUGCAUUUGAAGACAGGUGUCGCCUUCAAAGCGGCGACCGUGACGCGGCGCAGGUUCGUUUUAUCCUCCCUCUCUCCGUGGGCACCCAACCCCUCGUGUUCCCCACCGGGAAACCGAACCACCCCCACCGCCCCGUACGUAACACACACACUCUCUCUCUCCCCCUCUUAAAUUAAAUUUUAUAUUAAAUCUAAAUUAAACUCUCUCAUUAAAUAUAUAAUAAAAUUUAAUUAAUGGCCUACAUUUCAUUGUUAUAAAUUACCAGUCCACAAUAAAUGAGAGUCCGAUUUAUUUCCCAUGGAGGGCUCAAAGUGAUACAUCUCAAAAUUAAUACCAAUAAUUUAAAAAGUGAAGAGCACGAAUCAAAUACGUAUCAGGCUUAGUUUAGAAUGACGGUGUUUGAAAAAAAAUGUGGCUUUGCUGAAUAGCUUUUUAAUGAGAUUUUGUUAAAACCGUUAGCUGGAUCAUAUGUUCAUUUCGCGUUCAAAUUGUAUGAGACUGUUCUAAUUUGAACAUUUUUUUGUUGGAAUCUCAGUACCGUAUUGAACAAUAAAUUUAGACCAUACUACUAUUUUAUAAAAAAAUUUGAUCUUACAAGCCGCUCAAUUCGGAGCGGAUAAAGUCGGGAGCAACAUCAAAACGGAUCCAUUUACGUGCCAAACAACGAUGCCACGUGGACGAAGAGCAUUGGGUCUCGAACCGGGCGGAGACGUCGCAAUCAAUCUCGGCCGUCGGAUUCCCCCGAAAGCAACCCAUGGUGAUGAUGAUGAUGAUGAUGAUGAUGAUCACGACGCCCACCACCAAUAGGGCUCCGCAAUAUCUCGUGAGCUCCACAAAUCUUUUCCCUGCACCUGGUGUAUAUACAUGUGUAAUACACCACAACCUAAAAGUAAUAAAUUUUGGACAAAAAUUCGUUUAUUUGUAGACUACAAUGCAUCUAUUAAUCUAUAUAUUAAUUUUUAAUAGGAAAACUUCAAAAACCCUCCCGUAGUUUCACACUUUUUUAUUUUAGUAUCCUGUAGUUUAAAGUGUAUCAAGUUAGUACUCUGUGAUUUCGCACUUUCUCACUUUAGUACCAUGUGGUUUAAAGUAUAUCAAGUUAGUACUCUGUGGUUUAAAGCGUAUCAAGUUAGUAUUCUGUAGUUUUAUUUUUGUAUCAAGUUAAUACCCUGUGGUUUUAUUUUGGUAUCAAGUUAGUACACUGUGAUUUUAUUUUUCUCUUAAUAAAAUAUUAAACCACAAGAUACUAAAAUAAGAAAGUGCGAAACCGCAGGGUACUAAUUUGAUAUACUUUAAACCACAGGGUACUAAGAUGAGAAAGUGCGAAACCACAGGGUACUAAUUUGAUAUACUUUUAAACCACAGGAUAUUAAAGUGAGAAAGAGUGAACCACAAGGAGGAUAUUUGAAGUUUUUUCAUUUUAAAAUUUUAAUUAUUAAAAAUUAUUUGCGGUUCAUGAGGUGCACGAUUACACUGGGCGGAGGCAAUAAUUUUCUCCGCGAUAUUUUCUCUCUCCGGGUGCGGGUGGGUCGAGACCCGACCUAAUCCUAUUCGGAUCCGGACGAGGACCCCACCCGCAUUGAUUGCGAGGCUUCGGACUCGGCCGCAUAAUUUGUUUGGUGUUCCCACGGGAGAAAAUGUUCGCUGCACCUGGUCUAUACACGCUCUAUGAUAUGCAUGCAGUUGAAAAUAUAAUAGUUAUAACUAUAUAUAUUUUGUUUGAUUAAAAGUGGUAAAACGAGUAGUAUCAUAAAUAAAUAAUUUAUUUCGUUGCAUAUUGAAACUAAAGUUAAUUUGAAUGUAGUUCUAAAUAUUGCGGUUGAGCAUUCUUAAAAUUAGUUUCCAAAAUUUACGAUUUUGAUAUGUAAAUAGUUUAAAUGUAAUAGAACAGAUCUAAUAAAUUAGAAUUUUAUUUUAGAAUCUUAAUUAUAAAAUAUAGACAACAUAUGAGAUAUUCCGGUACGCUCGAAAUAAUUUCUUAGCACACAGCACAAUGCGUCCUAUACUAUGUGGUUAGGCCAUCGAGAUACGGAGAUAUACGGAGCAUUCAUAUCGUUCAUAAAUAUUUUAGGGGAUUUAUAUCAAGAUUCCAAUCAUAAUUAUUUAUAGUUGCAGCAGCGCUUCCACUUCUGAAAAUAAAAUGCUUAGGCUUGUUUGGCUUAAUUUUUAGUCCUAUCGAUCGAUAGCAAAAUCUAAAUCAAACGAGGUGCUUCGUUCGUGGACAAUGACUGCUUUUGUUCAUGGUAUGUUUUGAUGAUUUUCUGUAAGCAACCAAAUUUAGUAUAUUUUAUCACUAAAAUCCUGUACAGUAUGCUAACCUACCACACAGUUGGGCCAAAUAGACGCUUAGUUUAGAAGUUCAUCACUACAAAAGUUUUUUACUGUAUAUUUAUUAAAUAUCUGAAUCUUGAUUUUAAGAUUGUAGCAAAAUACCGACUUUCCCUAGCGCAAGUGGGAAAAAGGCUUGGUGGUUGGUAUCCGAGACCCAAGUUCGAAUCCUAGUUAAUUCACAUUUCCAGCUAAGUUUAUUUCUAAAUGAAAUAAACGAAGCGGGUAGCAUGCAACCUUUCUCUCUCAAAAAAAAGAAGAAGAUUGUAACAAAAUUCAACGUCUAUAAGGCUAAAAGUUAUAAUACUUUCUUUUCUUAUUUUCAUGACUUAUUCGUAAGUUUCGUCAGUAGGCACUGUCAGAAUAGUUAAUGAGAAUUUCUUUAGUUUCCAGUAAGUUGCGAGCUUAGGUACCCAAUAAUAAACACACAAAUGCUCAAACCCCUGGCUUCUUAGAUCGACUAUCUAAAUUUAUUUCUAUAUUGAAAAAAAAAAAAAGUUAGAAACUAAGUUGAGGUUAUAGCAUGGUCCAUUUACUUUUACCUAAAAUAUGGUGCCUUAAUUUGCUUUUAAAAUCCUCUAGCUUUUUACCAAAAAAUGCAUGUGGUGGAACCCAAACUCUCCCCUAACAGUCCAAAUUCUCCAACCUUCUAGUAAAGCAACCCUUCAACUUUACCUGCACCCACCCACCACCCUCCAAAUCCCCUCUCUCUCUCUCUCUCUCUCUCUCUCUCUCUAGAAAUAUAUGUGUAUAUUUCUCUUAGAUAUAUUCAUAUAUAUAAAAAAACAACAAUAUUUACUCAAAUGGCAAGCUUAAUGUUUUUUUUUUAAUGUUUGUUUUUAAAAUAUAUUCUUAUCCAUCUUACUAUAAAUAAGAGUUAAAUCUAAGAUGUCCUACGUCGCAUAUCAGCAAAUAUACUAAUAAAAUUGUGUAAGAUUGAUUAGAUAUAAGUUCUAUAGUAUAUAAAAUAUUUAUUAUAUAUAUAUGUAGAAGAUAUUUUUUUUCUUUCUCUCUCCCUCUUCCUUGUUCUUAUUCAUUCGUGCCCCUCCAUGUGCAAGCUUGCACACCCCAAUGUGAACAGCAACACCCAACAUUCUCAAAGAUAACAAGAUAUGAAGCAAAGUAUACAAGCACUACACACACAUGUGGAUGGUUAUAUAAAUAUAUAAUAUGUGUGGAGCCAUUGAAAAUCCCAACUCAACCACUGCUUUAUUUUAAAUGGAGCCUCGUGCUCCCCAAAUAAAGCCACGGGGCCUUCACCUCAUCCUUUUCCUAUGCAUGAUUAGAUGAAGCUACCACACCCAUGCACCCAAUACACAACUCUUUAGUUGUAGUACUUGUAUGCAAGUACACAUAUGUACAUACAUACAUACAUAUAUAAGUUAAAAAUACACCUAUAUUGCUAAAUGUAUUCAUGCAUGAGUCAAAGAUAAUACGUACGUAAUUUAUAUUUUAUACAAUACCAAAUUGUAUUGAAAAAAAAGAAAGGGGGAAAGAGAGUGGGUUUAACUGUUUAAGUCGAGUCAAAGAUUUGGUGCGUGCAUGUCACAUGGCAUUGCAUUAAUUAUUGUCUAUGCAUCCACACUAACAACUUGCAUAAAUAUACAUAAAAUUAUAUAUAUGCACUUUAUAUUUGAUGUAUAUCUUACACUAUAUAUAAAAUUACAAUAUUACAAUUACUAUAUAACAAAGCGGUUAUUAUUCUAUAAAACAAAGUAUUAAUUAAAAAAUUUCUUACGAAUUUAUAACCAAUACCCGUAAGGCUAGAUCUAUAUAAGUACAUACAAAGUUUUCUAAUUAGUUAAACUUUUUGUUUUGAGAAUUGUUAAUUAUAUUCCUCAAUUUUGGGGCAAACAUAGCAAAUUUAAAUUUUUUUGCAUGAUUUUUAUUUUUUUCUCUAUAGCAAUAAAAUUUGUUCUAUAUUUUUUUUUUACUUUCACGUUUACCAUCCUAUCCUAAUGCAUAUAAAAUAAACCAUAUAUCAGUAAGUUCACAAAUAGAAAAAAAAGGUACAAGUUAAGAGUGUUUUUUUAUUAUUAUUAUUUUUUUGGAAGUUGCUUUAUGGAAUAAGUUAUUCUUUUCUUGACUCUAGCAACUAAUAUUUUCUUAGCUUAAGACAUGAAUAAGAUUUUGCCCUUUUCUCUUUUUUUUUUGGCAUUCCUAAAAAUUGCAAAGGUGUCGGCAUGCCCAAAACAAGGAGAUAUUAGUGCAUGAACCUGGUCCACCACAUUAUUCAUGAUUUUUUAUUUAAUUUGUUUGUUCGACAGAAACUUCUUUUCUUAAACAUACAAACAUAUGGAUCGAGCCUUCAGCCUCAGAGGCGACAACUCGGAUAGUAAUCAUUGCGUUAGAAAAGUGAUUAAUGCUACUCAUAACUCAACAAUACAUAAUCUAAAAUAAUAGUUUAAUUUUGUGAUUUAUAGGAUCGAAAACUUAGAAAAGCUUAUUCCUUCAAGAAUAGAAAAGGGGAAAGGUUGUAAUUUGGUUGGCAAAUUGUGUUUUAUUUCACAGUUAAAUUAUUUGAAUCUACUUAAAAACUAUAUAUGUUUAAGUAUUUAUGACUUAAUUUAAAUUUUUUUAAAAAAAUUGUAGAAAAAUUGUGUCAUGUCAUGCUAUUUUUUGUUUAAGAUACUCAUGUUGUAUUUGUCUAGGACUUUAAUUUUGGAUCAUGCAAUGGCGUUAUAUUUGGAAUUACUAUCCCAAAAUAUAGCUUGAAAUUAACUUACUAUAUAUCUUCAUAAUAUAGGUUGAAACAUUACUUUAACUAUUUGGUUUCCAACCAAAAUAGAAAAUAUAUAAAGUGGAUCACAAUUUCCACCUUGGAAAUGUGAUUUGAUUUCGAACUUUUAAUCAAGAGUUAAAAUUGAAGGACUAUGCGAUUACCGCUUUAUUAAGGUAAAAUAAAAUCCGUAGCAUUAAUUAUUCUAUUGGAUCAAAUUGUUGCAAUGACAAUCUAUUGAAGCCCAAAACUUUUCUACUUAUAUUUGCCAUAUGGUGCUAAAUAUCUAUAGUUUAUUACUCUCACUAUUUAGAGCAGCUGACAUAUAUCUAUUUUUCGACUAUUAUGAUUUAGAUUUGAUUUUUUACUUCAGAUAAGAUGUAUGAGUACAAAUAGUUGGCUGGCAUUUAUAAAGAAAAAAAAACUUUAAUUUGCCCUACUAUUAAUAGUGCAUUUUUACUUUGUAAUUCUGUGGUUCAGAAAGAUACACUUAAUUAUAUCCUAUACUUUUAUUUCUAUUUUAACAAAAAUUUGUUGUCUAAUAGGAUUAUAAAAUAAAUUUUUUUUGAAGACCGUAGAAUGAUACUUCAUUCUUUUUUUUUUUUUUAUAAUGAAACAGAAAUAAAAGAAUAUGAUAGUUAAACGUAACUUUUGAAUCACAUGAUGGCAAAAUAAAAAUUUGCUAGGUAGUUAUGCGCGGCAUUUUGAACCACGAACCAACCGGCCAUAGCGCAAAUUGCAAAAGACUUGAUGGUUGGUAUUCGAGAUCACAAAUUCGAAGUCUAGCUGAUUCACAUUUUCAACUAAGUUUUUUCUUAAUAAAAAUAAAUAAAAUAAGUAACAUGCUAUCUUUUUAAUUUUUAGAAAUAUUUUUUUGAACCAACACCUCUCUCCCCUCUCUCUCUCUCUCUAUAUAUAUAUAUAUAUAAAUAGGACUACUAUAUUCUUAUGAGUAUAGACAUAUUUAUACUCAUAAGUUUUUGGUUCUUAGAUGAAAAAAUGUACGGUUAGAAUGAUAGUGGUCCUUUAAGGUUGAAUGGUUAUGAGUACAGUACUCAAACACACACUCUCUCUCUCUCUCUCUGUAUAUAUAACAAAUUGGAAUAAAAAGGAAGAGGACCAAUGCAUGGUGGACCAGGUUCAUGCAAUAACUUGUCCCAAAAUAGAGAGCAAGGAACUAGUUCUCUCUCUCUCUCUCUCUCUCUCUCUCUAACAAGCAUCCUCUCCCAAAAGGCCAAAAACCACCCUGGUUUUCUGAGCUCAACACCCCCAACCCCCCAAACCCCCAAAACCCACCCCACUCUUCUUCCUCCUCCUCCCCCCACCACCACCAUCACAAAAAAUGCUCCCUCCUCCUCCUCCUCCUCCUCCCCAAGUCCAAUGAACCCAACUCCACCCACAAGCUAGCUAGACCUGGUGCACUGCCACACCAUGAACUCAGGUGGUGGAGCAGGGGUGGCCAUGGACUCUGGCAUGGUGGUGGUGGUGGUGGGGCCUCCUCCUCCUCCUCAUCCUCCUCCCCCUCCUUGGCCCCCUCACUGGGCCCUCCUCCAUUGUCCCCCUCCUCUGGCUUCCUCAAGCAUGGGAGGAGGGGGAGCAGUGUUGGGGGGUCAGAGGAGGCCCAGCUCAGGCUCUUGAAGAUGCCCAGAACCACUGAGCACAUGCUCUGCUUCUCCUCAUCAACCAAAGAUGACACCUUUCCUUACUACAACCACCACACACCACCACCACCACCCCCUUCUUCCACCCCAUCUUUUCUCACCAAUGCAGGUACUAGUCAUUGGAUCAGGAUCUUUUCAUGUCUUGCUUCUUCUCCUCCUCUUUUUUCCCACCCUCCCCCUUAAAAAAAAAAAAAAAAAGGUUUUUUUUUUUAAAAAAAAAUUAUUUUGUUUCAUUUUGGGGGUCUUGUCAAUAUAGAUGAUGGAGAGUAGUGGGAUGGAUCAUGGAUGUGGAUCUUAUUUUAUUUUUAAAGGUGUUUCUUUUCCUUUCACUAAUUAGUGGGGACAAAAAAGAUCAAAUAGGAGGAAAAGGGAGCAUAAAACACUAGUAUCCAAUGUUGUUCUUUUCUCCUCCCCCCCUCCUUUUUUUUUUUCUUUGCUUCUAUUAAGUCUUCAAGGAAAAUGCUAGCAAAAGUCCCUCCUUUUUCCCUUUUUUUAUUUUCGUGUGUGUGUUCUUAUUUCCUAAGUCUAACAAAUGAAAAAAGAAGACCCAAAUCAUGGUUUUGUGCAUCUUUGAUGGUUAGUUCCUUUACUUUCAUUCUUAUUAAGAAAACAAAAAAAAAAAAAGAGAGAGAGAAAAAAGUGGAACUUCUCAUGCUCUUCUCUCUUAUACUUUUUUCUCUCUUUUGUUUUAAUGGUUUAGGAUUGUUUUCUGGGAGCUCAAACACAAGCAUGAAUGGGGUAUUGGCAAGGGUGAGAGGGCCCUUCACUCCAUCUCAAUGGAUGGAGCUGGAGCACCAAGCUUUGAUCUACAAGUACAUUGUUGCAAAUGCACCCAUACCAAGUAGUCUCCUUAUCCCCAUUAGAAGGAGCCUCAACCCAUCUGGGUUCCCUCCAUUCUCUGCUCCAUCUUUUGGCUCAUCCACAUGUAAGGUUCUCUAUCUUUGUUUAUUUUAUCAUUUAUUAUUAUUAUUAUUAUGUGUCUUUAUAUCAAUUUUUGGGACAAAAUGCAAGUGGAAUUUUUUUUUUUUUUUAAGAAGCUUGUGAUAGUACAUUAGCUAUGUCAGUCUAAUAUAUUUAAUUCUUGUUGGAAAGUUUAAUGUGAGAAGUCCGGAAAAUUUGAACUGAGGAUCUCCUGCUCUAAUGCCAUGCGGAAUAUUCAUCUCUCUUUAAAAGCUUAAGUUUUUAGAGAACAGUGUUUUAGUCUUUUAUACACUCGGGAGUUUUCCCUUUUAUUGUCAUUUUGUGAGUUUGUGAGAUUUGGGUAUGUUGUAUUUUCCAUCUUCUAUAGUGAAAUCUCUAAUUCCUGUGGACAUAAAUCUGCAUGUUACCUCUCUCUAUUUGCUCUGUUUGUCCUUGGCCGACGAACGUUGUUCGAUCCGCGGUUGGCCAUAGCAGCUAUGAAUAACUAACAUACAAACACUCGCGCAUUAUCUAGUAGCCUAUUAUGGUAUCAUUGUGUUGCUUUGAGUAGUUUUACAUACCAAGCAAGUUUUUUUAUGGUUCAAAUGUGUCAUUGAUUUAGUCAAAGAAACAUCUGUUUGUUUGUUUUGUUUUUGUUUUAGUGGGGUGGGGAAAUUUCCAACUGGGUUUUCCCGGAAAUGCGGAUCCCGAGCCGGGGAGAUGCCGUCGGACGGACGGAAAGAAAUGGCGGUGCUCGAGGGACGCAGUCGCAGACCAAAAGUAUUGUGAGCGCCACAUGAACCGGGGCCGCCACCGUUCAAGAAAGCAUGUGGAAGGCCGCUCUGGCCACGCCGCCGCAAGACCAUCCCCAACUUCUUCACAAGCUGCUUCCUCAGCUGUCCUCUCUACUGCAGAGCAGCAGGCAAAGAGUUUGGGGCCGAGUACUACUGCUGAUCCUUGCCCUGCUCCGUUUAACAGGUAUUGCUUUUGAUCUUCUACAUCCUUUUAUAUUCAAGUUGUAACUUUGGAUCUUUGGUUGCGCGACUCUUCUUUUUUGUUGAAUCGACUACAAAGGUUAUUGGUUUUUUUUUUCGAAUGCGUGAGUAAUUGAAAUAACUCAAGUAGUAAUAUUAGAGGUUCGGUUACUACUAUCAAUUGUCAAAGUCGGAACAGAUAUUUAGUAAUGCACCAAGUAGAGCGUCACACUAUGUUAGUCUGAAAAGGUUCAGUCAAUAUUUACUUGUUCGUCAUCAUAAAUCACUUGACUAAGCCCUUCGUGCAUGUACUCUAUUAUUCCAACUGAGCUAAUUUGUGUGAUUUUAGACAUUGUCAGAGGUAAUAAAAGUGCUUUAUAAAGUCGCUAGGAGUUUAGAAAGUGGAGUACCCUAUGAUCAUAACAAGAUUUGCACGAGUUUACUAAAUUUGACUCAUCAUAGAUAUGCGAGAUUUGGUAAUCGUUGAACAUGUACUACCAUUACAAAUAGUUACAGCAGUAUAUCAUCCUAAACUUUAAGAAGGAAUCUAUGUGCGGAUGGAUACUUAUUGCCGUAGAGAAGUGGAUUAUCGUUCCACCUACACAUUCACAUGGUAUUUCAUCAAGUCGCAAAGAAUAGUAGAUUGUUAAUGAAGUUGCACCACUUGCUAUAAUAUUUAUGUAAAUUUUACUAUUCCUGAGUAUAUCGAGUUUCGUUGUUGUCCUCAAACUUUUAGAGCCUGUUUGAAUGCAUUAACAUCUUCGGUUUUUUUGGAUUAUUCUGAAACCGUCGUUAUGAAAAAUUAUGGCUAUAAGGGUGUCUGAAAUAGACUACGUCGAACUCGUCAGUUGCAGCUGCAAAAUAAAAUCUCCAUAAAGCACAAGUUUAUCACUUGAUAACUUCAAAAUCCAAAAUGGCUCGUAAGUCGGACAUUCGACGCCCCAAACCUUGGAAGUCCUUCUGUUAAAAGCAAAAAAUUUGUUGCCUGCUUCUAGUGCAUAUGUACAUCCAUGUGCGAUGAAUUUACCGACCCUUAGUCGUUCUCGUACUUUCGAUCCAUUCAUCUAAUUUCCGAGUAUAUAAAAGGCUGAGACUCAAUGGUUUGUAACAAAUUCAAUGCCAUUGUGUAAUCCUUUUAUGUUGUGAAAGUCCCACUUAUAAUUUUGUAAGUUUCUAUAUUUUCGAUACAAACAACACUAUUUAUUGGUUAACGGAAAACAUUACGUAUAUCUCUCUUUCGAUGUUAUGUUGAUGAACUAUGUUUUUGCAGGAUGUUGAUGGGCAAAGAAAAAGUAAAUGAUUAUGCUGCGGACUCCCAAAGGCUCUCUAUGCUUACUUCUAUGAGCCAAAAGCCCAUAGACUCUUCCUUUCCCAUCUCGAAGCAACACAAUCCCUUUGAGGAAGCCGCAUUCUCAGAUAACAUCAACUUCCUUCCUGCGCCCAAACUCAAUGAAAAUUCGCAAACUCACCCUCUUCGCCAUUUCUUUGAUGAUUGGCCCAAAAACCACUCUGAUAGUUCUUCUCUCACCUGGCACGAGGUUGAAGAAAUGCAAUGCGAAAGAACCCAACUUUCUAUAUCUAUCCCUAUGACCUCCUCCGACUUCUCGUCCUCGUCUUCUCCUACUCAUGAGAAGCUUACUCUUUCACCCCCUAGACUAUCUCGCGAGAGUGAGUUUAGUCAAAAGCAAGUAAAUUGGGUACCGAUUUCUUGGGAGUCUUCGAUAGGUGGACCUUUAGGAGAGGUGUUGAACAACACCAAUAGCACAAUACCAAAGGAUCAAAGCAAGAACUUGUCAUCAUCUUCGCUGAAUCUUUCGAUGGACGGGUGGGACUUAGAGUCGUCGCCAUCGGGAGUUCUUCAGAAGGCUAACUUCGGUUCGGUGUCUAGCAGCACCGGCAGUAGCCCGAGGCCGGAGAAUCCGAAGGCUUAUGAGUCUCAUAAGAGCAGCGGAAGCCUGUGCAACGAGAUACUCGGGUCAGGCCUUGCGAAUUCCCUGACUAUGCCUUCAUUUUAAGCUUCUAAAAGAGUUAUCUUCCAGUAGAAAAUAGUGAAAAGUGUUAUGUAUCAUGGUUUGUGGAGAGUGACUUUAGUUUUGCUUGCUAGUAAAAUUAUGGAGCAUUUAGUUUCAGAAACUUGAAUUUUUAUGUUUAUUUCCUUGGUUUUGUACUUUGUUCUUGGAUUAUCUCUUUGAAGAAGGAUUGAAAGCCUCCUUAUAUGUAUUCUGUCAAAAAAAUGGCAAAAAGAGAAAAAAAAAGGACUUAUGUACUUGAUCUACAGCUAUGUAUAACAGGUUGGGUUUUAAUUGAUCUGAUUGGUGAUGUCUAAUUAAAAAUAUUGCUUUAAAUGUUUUUUUCUCUUUGCAUUAUCAUGUGAAAUUUUUUUUAAAAAAAACUUUCUUCUUACUGCAGUUUGAUAUCUGAAAUUUCCAUUCUCACAAUUUGGUUUCUUUUGCACUACGGCACCGCCUUCUCGAAAUGAAUAGUACAUUUUCCUUAGCUACUCCAGAGCUUCUGUAGAUGUGCAGAAGCUCAUAAUCAGAACUUCUAUCUUUUAAGACUCAGAAGCUUAUUUAUUUAUUUUUCCAAGUUUUUGCUUUGCAGAAUAAAGAAGUAGCCAUGCAUGGAAAAGCAGCAUUUAGUUAUACUAGCUGUUACAUCUCUACAUGGAAAAUAAGAAAAUGAUUCCAUGGAUUGAUUGAACUGUCACAGGACCAUGAAAUAGGAUCAGUGAGCAUGCAAAGGGAAGAGUGAUAGCUGUCCAUCCUUUUCCCCUCAAUAAGCUUUCAAUGUGCAGGAUAUAUAUAUAUAUAUAUAUAUAGCUAGGUAUUAUUCUCCUAUACUGUGGGUUUAAGAAAACAAAUUAUUGGUCUUCGUGCAGGAUCUUUUUUCGAGCAUGCAGUACGUGUAGAUACGUACACUAGAGUCUAGACUGAAAAAAUAAUCGAUAUACAGACAAAAUUUAUUUACGAUAAAAUAUUUAUAUAUAGAGUAANAUAUAUAUAUAUAUAUAUAUAGCUUUUUAUGAUCAGCAUGCAUGGUUUGCCACCAUGCAAAAACAUUCUGUGAUGAUUGCCCCUGUAGAAGAUACUUGAGUGGUGAACUGUUGCUUGUUGUUUAUCUAUAUGGAUGUUACUGCUGUGAUAGUAACUUCCUCCUGUUGGAGAGGGAGAGGACACACACACACACACACACACAAAAAAAAAAAAAAAAAAAAAAAAAAGUUGUUGCUAGCCAGGGCAGCUGAUUGACAUUCUGUUGUGACGAGCACACAAAUAGAAACGAAAAUGACGAAAGUGAAGCAGACGAGCCACGAACAGAAAAAUAAAUAAUAUAUAAAUUUAUGUGAAAAUUUUUUUGUAGAAAAAAACAACAGGCGAAAAAGGAGAGGCUAUGGAAAAAAGAAGUACAAUGUUCUGAGUACAAUGAUCAAUUUUUCGCCUUUAGGGCAAAAUGAAGAAAAAAAACUCUUAACGAGCCCAAGCCCUCAGCUACCUACCACAGAUAUUCAUUUUUUCUUCACAAUUUAUUUUUCAAAUUGGUCGCACUGCAGAACUGUCGACGAGUCGGAGUCCUAAAACUGAAGUUCAUUACUCAUUUCGAGGCACAUUUAACACAUUAAAAAAAAAAAAAAAACCAGGGUAUAUAGGUGCGUGGUUUUCUGUAAAAGAAAAAGUGCUAAUACUUAAAUAGAAAAAGUGCUAAUACUUACAUUGGUACCUCCCAUGACGGUUUUCAAAGCUGUAUCACUCAAAAAAGAAAAAAAAAAUUAAUAUAAGAACCUUUUUUUAGACGAUACAUAGGGGAGCAUCCCUAUAAUAUAACAAGUAUCAUCGCUUCAAAAAACGCCAUCAAAUUAAUUUAUUUAAUAUUAAAUUUUACUAUUAUUUUUAAUUUUUUAAUACUUUAAAGCAUCAAAAUUUUAAAAAAUUCUGACGUUUUAAAGCGUCAGAAUAUAUUUUACCUACGCUAGGCAUAAGCAUCGGUAUAUAUGUAGCAACUCUUCAUUUAACGAUAUUUUAACCGACUUUCAAAUGUAACGCUAUACUAUAUUGGGAUGCUUUUAAGCAUCGUUUAAUAUAAAAAAAAAACAUCUUUAAAAUAUUUUUUUUUUUUAGUGUAUUACGACACCAGGCCUAUUGCAUUAUAUUUAUUCCAAACUAGUUAAUUAAGGCCAAUCACAUCCUAUUGAAUAUGAAAUUAUUAUUUUUUAUAUUUUUUUUUCUUCAACCAUCAAACAACUUCUUUUUUUUUUUUCUCUAUUUGGUUCAAGAUACUAGACCUACUAAUGUUCUCGCAAAUGCUAGCUAACUUUGGGCCCCCAUUGGGCCUGAGAUCUUUCGGCCCCAAAUCUACGGUUAUUUUUUUUUUUUUUUUUUUUUUUUUUUUUUUUUAAGUUAUUUUACUUACUAAGAGGUUACAAACAUGCAUGUUUAUUUAAACAAUGUAGAGAUAUCAUGAAUAUUAUUAUAUAAAGCUAAUUUACACAGUACAUGAAAUUCAAAAAUGGGCCCUAGCCUCUUCAAAAAAAAAAAAGUUCAUUAAUUGAACUCGACUUCUCGUGUAAUGGGUCCCAUAAUCAGCAUCUUUUAGUCUGUAAAAUCUUUGAUGCCCUGUUUGAAAGCAUGAAUAUUUUAUCCGGUAUAUCUCCAUAAUUUACUGGAGAAGCUUACACGAGUUAGUCAAUGAGAAGUGUGAUUAAAUAUCUAGAAUUGAAUAUUGAUAUUCGACCUUCAAAUUAUUUUUUCAGAUGAGAUAAAUCACUUUGUAGGUGAAUAUGUUGUCCUAUCUAAUUAUGAAUAUCAAAACUUUUCAAAGAGCAGAAAUCAAGCUUCUUUCUGACAAUCACAUUAGAAAAUUCUUAUACUGAAUAAAUUAUUUUUGAAUAACUUAUUCCGACUUUCAAAUAAUAAGGCGUAAGUGCCAACCAUUUAAGAUCAGGAUGCAUACCAAAUAACGUGCAUCGGAUCUCAUCUCAUUAGGGACUACUAUCCGAAGCAUCUGAUCCUCUAUCAUAAUAGAAUGCUAAACUCUUUUUUCUUUUGAUUUGAACUUUUCUCGAUUUAUUAUCUUUCAAACACAAUUCAUAUACGGUGAUUCCUCUUGCUUGUAGAUCUCUCUAUGCAACAUGAUCAAUUGAACAUCUUUAUGUUUUCCAAACACCCAUGAAAGAGCUCAUGAGAUUGAUUGAUUUUUGACAGCAUGUGGCCCUAAAUCCUCUACCAGGUGCACCACCCAUAUAUACAUGUAUAACCUCUUGCACAAUAAUUAAAUACCAAAAAGGAUGGCAUAGCAAACCCCCUCAACAAAUUUGAGGCCAAAUCCACUUGAAUCAUGAGUCAAUUUUUCUGCGAAAAAUUUAUCGUUCUCGAAAGGCCAAGAACACUUGCACUAGAUUUUGAUAUGUUUGCCGCAUCGCGAAUUCGACGAUCAGUUGUCGCCAACUAGAAGGUAUCGAUCGAGAAGACCAUACAAAAGAAGCUUUCACUCUUCCCUCAACAAACAAACAAACAAAACCAAAUCAAUACAAAAAGUCACUCUUUGGUGGCUACUUACAUACAUACCUGGCUAAGAUUUGAGGAACCAAGAUAUAUAUACAUGCAUUUAAAGCCACAACACACAUUUCAACUUGUUCAAUUAAAUGAAGGACCAUUGAUAUAUAUGAUGCAAUUUAAGAGCUAGUAUACUACUCUCCACAAAUUUUCAAAGCAUCAUUGGCUACCAUUUUUCCAUGUAUCUCACUCUAGAUUUUAUUGCCUUUUAAUUUCAACCAAAAAAAAGAAGAAAAAAACUAGAUCCAUGGAUUUUAAAACAUGUAUUGAUGUAUUGAUAAUAUCAUAGUAGUGGCAAUUUAAAGGGCCAAGAUAUAUAGAGAAAGAGGGGUUUAAAACAUGUAGUUCCCUUGUAUUAUGCAUUAGAACACUUUCCCGCGUAAAAUGAGAAGAAAUUAGAUGAAACUACAUGUGUUUAAAGAUUUCGAUACAAGGCCCUCCUAAUUUAAUUAUAUAUACAAUGUUGUAUGAUCCUUUAUUUAAUUUCCCGUCUACAAGAUAAUCAUAUA
RNAcentral lists this long non-coding RNA (74029 nucleotides) under Ananas comosus (pineapple). Its description in RNAcentral is "long non-coding RNA (ACOM_LNC023788)". The record is from RNAcentral. Lineage: Eukaryota; Viridiplantae; Streptophyta; Magnoliopsida; Poales; Bromeliaceae.